This 54705-nucleotide long non-coding RNA is filed under the name Phaseolus vulgaris (common bean). RNAcentral's name for it is "long non-coding RNA (PVUL_LNC001094)". The record is from RNAcentral. Lineage: Eukaryota; Viridiplantae; Streptophyta; Magnoliopsida; Fabales; Fabaceae.
AAAAUAUCAACUCUGGGGCGAAGUUUUGGCAGCGGUUGUUUGGGGAGGUUGAGUAUUCCCACUGGCAUUACCAUCGGCAGUAUAUGCUGGAGCCUGAGUAUAACCAGCACCAUAAGAACUGUUGCUGUAUGGAGGUGGUGCCUGACCAUAUGCAGGCUGACCACCCUGAGGUGCACCAUAUGUUUGAGAACCAUACCCUGGUUGCCCUGCACCAUAUCCCGAAGGUGGUGCUCUCUGAGCACCAGAUUCUGGUUGGGGUUGAGAAUAACCGGAAGGUGGAGGCUGCGCAGGAUAUGCUGACUGACCAUAGCCUCCUACCGCACUAGGUGACUGCGACUGUCCAUAAACAGGAGGAUUACCACUUGGCUUUUGAGAUUGUGGGGCUCCAUAACCAGGUCCGUAACCUGGCUGUGGUUGACUUCCAUAAGCAGCUUGGGAUGUAGGUGGAACCCCAUAACCUGACUGAGGAGUUCCCUGAGGUGGGUAGCUAGCAGUGUUUGAGCUGGGCUGUUGGCUGGUAGGAUAACCUUGCUGUGGCUGUUGGGUAGAUGGAGCUUGGGCUGAAUCUCCCUGUGAAGCAUAGCUCGCAGUGUGGCCCUCUUGUGCUGGGUUACUGCCACUACCAUAGCCAGUAACGGAGCCAUAGCCUUGCUGCUGAUCAUAUGUUGGUGGUUGUCCAUACCCUGAUUGAGAUUGUGCAUUAUAUGCAUUAUAGCUGUCCUGAGCAUAACCCUGUCCGGGUUGGCUAUAACCAGAAGAAGGUGGUUGACUAUAAUUGUAUGCAGAGCCAUCAGCUGGAGGUGCAGGACCUCCAGGAUUUUGUGGUUGCUGUGGCUGUUGACUAUAGUAAUCAUAGCCACCAGCAUGAGUUGACUGUUGGUGAGAUGGUGCAGAAGACUGGUCCCAAUUGGUGGAAUAUCCACCUGGUUGUUGGGGAGGAUAGCCCGAAUAUUGUUGCUGAGGCAUGUUAUACUGAGGUGAUGGACCAGAAUAUGCUCCAGGUUGCACAUAUCCAUAACCAGGUUGCUGCAUUGGUGCAGGGGGGGCCCAGUUAGAGGGUGGUCGAGAUUGGUAACCUUGCUGAGGAUACCCACCAGACAUUGAAGGAUUUCUAAGACGAUUCUGUGGAUUCAAAUUGAAAACCAAAAUAAAGGGAGUGAGUUCACCCAAAUUUCCACACAAGACAAGUAUAGGAAGCAACAUAUGCACACAUACACAGGUUAAACUUACAAAUGCAAAAAUCAACAUGUAAUGAACACGAGAUAAAGGGUAUAUAUAUUAUCUUGCAUUAACGGGUUGCAUACAUGAUCAGAAAGGGAUACGAAUACCUACAUACCGUACUGGUUCGUGAUAAAACUGAGUUACUCCAGCAGAAGCACACCCUUUCCCUAUUCGAAUUGAAUGGGUACAAAAGAAAGCACAGACCAUAGAAGCAAACAAUCAUUCAAUAUUUAUUGCCUUGAAAAGGCAAUCCAUCAUAUAGUAUAUCAAUAUGCAAUAUCUUACUCCAAUUGUUACACUAUACAAUAUAUCAUUCAUAUUCAUAUUAAUUCAACAAGAGUGACUGGACUACAGAUAUUUCACACCCUAUUAAGAUGAAUGCGCAACUCCAAAUUCAAAUAUACAGACUGUUGAAACAACUUUUCUGUGCUCCCAUGUACAUUCUCUCAUCCUUUGUACAACCCAUUCUAAUAGUCCAACCUCGGGAUCAUCAGUUAAAAACAAUAAAAUUAAAUAUUAUUUUAAUGGAACAUGAAUUAGAAAGAAAAGAAAAAUAAUUGAAUGAGGCAGAACAGAAGUGGCACAAAAUGUAUAACAGACAAAUCUUAAUAGAAAUCUUAAACAUAACUGGUUAGUUAAGAAAACUAUUUAACACUGGACAAGAAUAAUAAAACUGGACAAGAAUAAUAGUAUAGGGAAAAUAAUUAAAGUGCUGAACGACGGACAAAUUUCAGGUUACCUAUGCCAAAUGUAAGUCCAGUAUAAGAUACGAGGAUAAAAUACUACUCCAAGUACACUAAGGUUCUUUUUAGAAAUAAACUGAAAAGCACAAGAGACCUAGUUGAAAACUAUUUCAACAUAAUUCAACAUUGAGUCUAAUAAUGACACUAUAGUCAAAAAGUAUUAGUAGGAGACUUACUGCCCUUGAUAAUAAAUAUCAAAACUGAGAUUUAGAACCAUACCAGGGCAUGCUGAGGGAACACCAACAAAAGGAUUCAUGUUGGUGUCACCAAUGGUCCAAUAGACACUAACCCUACAACAGUCCCAAUAACAAUAUCAGUCAUAGGAUACACAAUUAAUAAGCAUAUUCCACUGUCGAAAGGUUAUAAUCUCAAUGAGUAUCCAUCUGGCCCAAAAAUAUUUCAUAAUAACAGUAGCCUUCAGAGCACCAGGAAUCUAAACCAACAAAAACAAUGAAAGACGCACCUCACCAAAGCACUGGGCUAAGUGAAAAACACAAUUAAAAUACGGUCUUUGUAAAUAUAUGGUAUCUUGGUCAAGAAAACUGACAGGCCAAUUCUAAAAUAUUGCUACCAACGUCCUUGAUUCGUGGAUGUAUAAAAGAGAUAAUGGCUAAGACGUAUUAGCUAAUUAUAUAGAGCAGACUACACAUACACAAACAUAAAGACACAGUUGACAAGUCAGACCCUGAAAGUUCAUCAUGACCAUCACCUAAUCCUAGACUAAACAUAAAGGAAGAUGCGUAUUGCUAAUAUAUCAAGACUGUUAAUCGAACAAGAUACCAUACAAUUGUUAACAACAUUAUACAGCUAAUAAUUGAUGGCUAUAGCAGUGAACGGUCUCACUAAUCAUGUUUCCACUUGGCCAGCUGACGCAACAACACUGAGGAGUUGGAGAUUACAAGCAAGAACAUCGUAACAGCCAUUAGUCUUCUACCUUUGUGCAUUAUUUUGCAUAAGUCUUGAAACACUUGCACAAUAUGAAAAUAUGUACUAAUUUUCUUUUGAGAACAAUACAGUAGGUAACAGAGAUCCGAAUAAUAUUAAUGUAUCAUAUAAUAAAGACCACUUGUUAAAGGCACAUUAGGCUCUGAAAAAAUUUCUACUUCCUUAAACAUACUCUAUCAUCUAAGCUGCUUUGGAAGAGAGAUCAAUGCAUCCCGAAUAUGCAUCAAGUUACUAAUAAUUGUCAUACAGCUAAGCUGCUUCGGUCCAGAUCAAAACAUCAAUAAUAUACAAUGUAUAAUAAUGGUCACAGUGUUAUGCUGUAUCAAUAAUAAGAUCAAGGAAUUAAUUAAUAUGAACAGAAUAAAUGUCAUUUAUGCAAAACUAAAGUGAAAACCAUCACAUGAUUUACCAAAACUAUUUUUUCCCUGCAAAGGAACAAAUCGGAGAGUACAAAAAUCAUGUAUCAUGUUACAGGAAUCAAUCAGAUCUAACUUUAUAUUUUAAUAUCAUAAAAAAUAAAAAGACCCAACAGGCAAUGACAAGCACACCGUAUUCAUCUCACAAUAACAUAAAGCUUGCACGUAAAUCAACCUAGUUUGAUCAAACAGUCUAGAUGAUAAAUAGAUUGUGCAACAUACAGAGUACAAAACCCAGUAGAAAAACAGCAAUUUUAAACACUAGACUAGACUUGGCCUUACCAGGCAGAUAUGCCUAAGCCAAAUCUGGCAAAAAGAAGCACCAUUAACAUACCUCGCCACUGAUGAUUUGAUUAACCAACUCCUUUGCAGACUCAAUUUGCUCAGGUGUCCCAUCAACUUUUAAUGUUCUUUCAGUUGAUGUGUCACCUGGAGGAAGAUGCAGAGGUAUCACCUGAAAAAACAUAUAAACAUUAGCCAAAAGUCAUAAAAGUUGGCCGUUAACACAAUCUCUUUUCAAAUUAGUUGCAAUCACAAAGCUACGGUAAAAAAAAACAUAACAACAAGGCUACACUAACUAUGAUUUAUCACCGAUAUCUAAUACACAAAUAAGAGAACAGCGUUCUAUAUAUCACUUAUAAGUACAAACCUGAAUCCGUGCUCCUGUAGAAGCUUGCAUAUUCUUUAUAGUUUCUCCUCCUUUGCCAAUUAUAAGGCCAACCUGAAGAUGCACACGAUAAACAUAUCAACCCAAAGAGAUAGAAAAAAACAGAUCUGAACACGGAAAUUACGCAUGACAUUGUACAAAGCAUACACUCAUAUCUCCCUUUCACACCUUAUUAUUUGGAAUUCUCAUGACAAAUUCAUCUGACCCAGCUUGUCCAGUCAGUCUUCGAGCAACAAUGCCAGAACCUCCAGAUUCAGCCUGGUACAACAACAGUUGUCAUCGUAUAUAUUGCAAUAAUUAAACAUGUGAGAAAUUUAUCAAGAAACAGACCUCCUUCGUAAGAUUAUCGUAACGUCAAAUCUAUGAUAAACGAAAUUUAAUACAUACAUGAUUCACAGAAAAAAAAAUAGUAUAAAAUGUGAUUAACCUCAGCAAGAACUUCAUUUAUGAGUUUCUCCGCAGAAGCAAUUGCCUCGGGAGUGCCCAUAAGCUCAACCGUUCUUGAAGUAGAAUUAGGGUCGGCGUCCAUAUCGCGAGUAACUUGAAUUUUAGCACCAGACUGCAACUGGAGAUACUUAAUAGUCUCUCCACCUUUGCCAAUAAUCACACCAACCCUGCCGUUAGGGAUAUCGAUCUUCUUGCUCGUUCCUUGGUGACUGUAGGAGACGGGAGGAACGGCUGAGUACUGAGGCUUCGCAUCUACGUUCACGGAAAACAGAGUUUAUAAAACCCUAACCUAAACGAGAAGAAUAGUGGAGCAGAGGGGAUAGCUAGUUACCGUAAGAAUCGAAGCCGGAGGUAGGAGCGCCGUUAUCGGGUUUGGCACGCUUGGCGUCGAGCGGGGGAGGAGGAGCAACGCUGAGGAGGCGAGUGGCGACUUCUUGAGCACGCUGCUUGGCAAGCUCGAUGCCGGUAGCGGGGCCGGCGGAGAAGCCGGUGGGUCUAUCGGAGGAUUGGUCUUCAUACUUGCGUUUGAGGGGCGUAGAGUCGUUGGGAGAUGAAUAGUGGGCUUCGUCCGCCAUUGGCACAAACCCUAAAGACGUUAGGUGUGUAAGAGAGGGUGGUGAUGUUAUUUAUAAUAUAUAGUGGUGGCUAGUGUGACCCCUACCAUGGGUGGGGCAGGGUAGAAAAAAAGGAGAUAUUUUGCAUCCCUUCGCUUGAGGCACCUUUACGUCAUUCAUACAAUUAUACAGAUAAAACUAUUUUUAUCUCUAUUUUUCUAUCUAUCAUCUUAUUAUUUUUAAUUUUUCUAUCUAUUUUUUAUUUUUAAGAUUUUAUAUUUAAGAUAAACAUUUUGAUAUUAUCGGUGUAUCUACUACUAAUUAAUAUUAAUUAACUUUUAAUUUUUUAUAAUUAUAUCUUGUGUUUUUAUUUAAAAUUAACAUGAUUACAUCAUCAAUAAUAAUAAAAAUAAAACUAAUUUAUGUUUAUAGAUUCAACUUUUAUGUUAUUGUAGGGUUUAAUUUUUUAUUUUCUUCAUUUUUAAAAAAUUAAACUAAACAUUUUUAAUUUACUACUUUUUUAUUUUUAUUUUGUAAAAAAUCAUUUUUUUAUUUAUUAAUUAUAUUUCUAACUAUUUAAAACAUUAAAUUAUUUUUUUAAUGCAUUCAAAAAUAAAAUUAUCAAAAAAAUUAAUUUAUUAAUUUUAAUUUUUUUACUUUUGAAAUGGUGUUAGAUAGGGAUAUAAAAAUAAAAGAGUGUUAGGUAAGAAAAUAAAGACAAGUGCGGGAAAAUAAAAAUGUAAAUAGUGUUGUUAUAUGAGGGAUUGAAUCUACAAUUCUCACUUCAUUUCAACUUUUUCGCUGUUUCUUUAAUCAAUAUUUUUUAAUAAUAUUCAUACAAAAAUAAAGGUAAUUUUUUAAUGAUAUGUUUUUUUAUUAACAAUGAUAUAUUUUAUUAAAUAAGAGUUUAUUUGCGAUAUUUUUUGUAAACUUUAUUCGGUUAAAUUGAAAAAAUUAGUAUUGAGUGACUUUUUAUGGAUUUUUAAAAUUAAAAAAAAAAAUAAAGAAGCCUAUAGGAUAAAAAUAAAUAUGUUGCUUAUGGAUUCAGUUGAAAUUAUCUUAAAGAGAAACUUUAUUUGAAUUAGUUAUAAUAAGUUUAUUUAAUUAAUGUAUUAGUAUAUUAACAAUUACCAUAUACAAUUUAGAUAUUGGCAUUCUCAUUAGUAUUUUUUUAAUAUUUUUUACCGUGAGAUCAUACAACUGAUGUAAUGGUCAAGGUUAACGGCCCCACGACCGAUAGUUCAAGUCCAGUUAUGCUCAAUCAAGGUCGACGAAGUUAAUUCGUGAUUAGGAGUCAAGUAAUGCAUCCCUAAGCAUGAUUCAGCCCCUUAACCCGACCCAAUAAAAAAAGUCAAUCAAAGAUAAUAUAAGAUUUGAUUCAAAUAUUAUAUGUGAAACUAAUAUAAGAUUUGAUUAAAAUAUUAUAUGUAAGACUAAUACAAGAUUUAUAAAUAAAAUUUAUGAACUCGACUUUAUAAAUAGAUUAAUUAUAUAUAUACUAAUAGAUGUGAACAUACAUAUUUAAAAUUAUAUAUGACUUUAACUAAAUAUUUAUUUAUUAAAAGUAUUUAUUAUUCUAGCUGAAUCCUGAUAUCGAACAACUUUUUACAAAUACUCCACACGUAUUUAGUACCAAGACUUCUUUGAUACUCUCUGUUUGAAUUGAGGUGGAAAUUUGUGAGGAAGGGAGAUAGUGAAUUGAAGAAGAUUAUGGGGAAUGUGUGAUGUUGUUUGGAUUGAGGGAUGAUAGAGUGGAUUUGUUAUGAUUGUUUAUUAAAAUUUGUAAGUGAUGAGAUAGUUAUGACAUAAUUUAGAAAUUAUUUUAAAGGUGUAAAAUGCAAAUUUACAAAUUUAUCUUUGUCAUUAAAAAAUAUUUUAAUAAUGAGUUAGGUUUUUUUUUUUUGUAAGUUUGAGUUAAUUUUUUUUCUAAUAUAUAAUAUUCAUAAUUACUCUUAUUUUGUAAUACAAAAUAAUUCCGUGUUAAAUUAAAAAAAUAUAUUAAAUAUAUUAAAAUUUAUGAAAAUAAUAUUUAUUAUUAUAUACAUUUGUUAUUUUAUAUAAUUAUAAAUGUUUUGUUGAUAUGUCAAAUAAUAUGAAUAAAUUUAGCAACUUGUUCUUCAACUAUUGAAGGAUAUGCAUCCUUAACAAGUUGCCCUAAUUCGUUUACAUAAUAUUGAAUGAAUGCUUAUGGUUACAUGCGAAUAAUGUCAUGAGAACAUCCCGUGUGCACCAAAUACUCCAUCAAUUAUUGUUUGCAAGUUGAGUAUAUAUUUUCAAUUGUUCUUAUAUUUUUUAAAUGAGAUUCAUGUUCACACGAGCAAUAUCAUUAUAAAUUGCAAUUGUAUCAUCAAAUUCUUCUUUGUCGUUUCAAAGUGGUUUCCAAUUGUUUUCGUUAUCCAUCUAAUAUUUACCUUAUCAUUGACAAUCAUAAAAUAGUUUAUCGAUACACAUCAAAUAAUUUAUGCUACGAAUAACUCUAACCACUUAAAGUUGGAGUUAGUGCAAUAGUACUAAGGUUAAUAUUAGAGUGAUGUGAAGAAUAAUGUUAAGAUUAAGACGCACUUUAAUAUUUAUAAUUAAAUCUAUAAAAAAAACACAUAAAAAUAAACAAAACAGUAAAAAUGUAAAAAAGCAAAUUUAAAUUUAAAUGAUUCACUAUAUCUUGUUAAUAAAAAAAUGUAACACUAAACACACAGUAAAAAAAAAAAAUAUAUAUAUAUAUAUAUUAAAAACAAUAAAGACAUUGAAUAAAAAAAACAGUGAACACAAAGUAAUAAGAAAAAUGUAAAUAAAUUUAUAAAAAUUAAAAAUAAUAGAUGUAAAUGCAUUUAUAAAAAACUAAAAAUAAUUACCACAUAAAAAAAAACACUAAACACCUAAAAAAAUUUAAACACAAUUAUUAAAAUUAAAAAUAGUAAACAAAUAAUAAAAAAAAUGUAAAAACAAAAACACAAAAAACACAUAAUAACAAAUAAAUAUACAAAUAUAUUUAUAAAAAAUAAAAACAGUAGUUACAUAAAUUAAAAAGACAUGAUAAUAAAAAAUAUAAAACAUUAAACAAAUAACAAAAAAAAUACAGAACAGUAAUCAAAUAAUAAAAAAUUAAACAGUAAACACAUAAUAUAAAAAAUAUAAAUACAUUUAUAAAAAUAAAAAAUUUAUAAACACAUAUAAAAACAAAAAAAAUUAAAUACAUUUAUAAAAAUUAAAAUCUGUAUGUAAACCCAUAAAAAAGCAAACAAGACAAAAAAAACCUAAGAAAAAAAUUUAAAUACAAUUAUUAAAAUAAAAAAACAAUAAACACAUAAAAAAACUAAACAGUUUCUUGUUAUUAAAAAAAAUUAAAAAACAUUAAACACAUAAUAUAUAUAUAUAUAUAUAUAAAUAUAAUUAAGAAAUAAGUAAAUACAAUAAAAUAAAAUAAAAAUAAAAAAACUAAACAAUAAACACAUAAUAAAUAAAAAAAUAGUAAAAAAACAAUAAAGACAUAAUAAUAAAAGAAAAUGUAAAUACAAUUUUAAAAAAUUAAAAAUAAUAAACUACUUUUUUUAUGAAAUACAUUUAUAAAAUUAAAAAAUAGUAAAUACAAAAAAAAAAGUGUAAAUCCAUUUAUAAAAAUUAAAUACAGUAAACACAUAAUAAAUAAAAAAGUCAAAUAUAUUUAUAAAAAUUAAAUACAAUAAAUACAUAAGAAAAACUAAACAAUAGUACAAAUGCAACAAAAAAAUGUAAAUACAAUUAUUAAGAUUAAAAACAGUAGACAUAUAAAAAAAAUAAACAGUAUCUUGUUAAUAAAAAAGAUAUAAAAACAAUAAAGACAUAAUAACAAAUAUAUAUAUAAAAAUUAAAAACAAUAAAACAUAGAAUAAAAAAAACAACAAACACAAAAUAAUAAAAAAUAUAAAAACAGUAAACAAAUAAUAAUAAAAAUAUAACUUUUUUAUAAAAAAUAAAAACAAUAAACACAUCAACAAAUGUAAAUGCAUUUAUAACAACUAAAAAUGGUAUUAUUAAAAUUAAAAAUAAUAAACACAUAAAAGUAAUAAUAAAAAUGUAAAACAUUAAACACAUAAUAAUAUAAAAAAACAUUAAAGUUAUAAAAUAAAAACUAAACCGUAAACAUAAUAAUAAAAAUAUUUAAUUACCUUAUUCGUCCCUAUAUUUGGGGUCAAUAUUCAAUUUGAUACCGUGGUUUUUAAAAAAAUCAAUUUGGUACCGUGAUUUAAAAAAUAAUCAAUUUGGUCCCUAUGUCUUUUAAAAUGUAUCCAAAUUGGUCUUUCCGUUAAAUCCCUCCUAACAGCUAACAGCGUAAGGUGUUGCUUAUGAUAAAGAGAAUGUCUAUAUGGGGAGAGAGAUGUGAGAUUAUUAUUAUUAUUAUAGUUAUUAUUAAUACUAUUAUUAUUAUUGUUAUUUUUAUUACUAUUAUUAUUAAUAUUAUUUUUCUUAAUAUUAUUACUAUUAUUGAUAUUUUUAUUACUAUUAUUACUAUUAAUAUUAUUUUUCUUAAUAUUAAUAUUAUUAUUAUUACUAAUAAAAAAUAAAAUAAAAAUAGUAAUAAUAAUAAUAUUAAGAAUAAUAAUAAGAAAAAUAAUAUUAAUAAUAAUAAUAAUAAUAGUAAUAAUAAUAUUUAUAUUAAGAAUAAUAAUAAUAAUAAUAAUAAUUCUCAAUCUCACCUCUCCCUCCACAUAAACACUCUAUCUCCCACAUAAACACUCUCUCUAACCCACAUUCUUUCUGUGUCACAUAAGCAACACCUACGCUGUUAGGUGGAACUUAACGGAAAUGACCAAUUUGGAUACAUUUUAAAAUAUAUAGGGACCAAAUUGAUUUUUUUAAAAACCACGGUACCAAAUUGAAUAUUGACCCCAAAUGUAUGGACGAAUAAGGUAAUUAAAUAUAAUAAAAACUGUAAAACCAAUAAACACAUAAUAAUAAAAAAGAAAAGUAAAUACAUUUAGAAAAAUAAAAAACUGUAAACACAAAAUAUAAACUAAACAAUAAAUACAUAUAAAAGAGUAUAAAUAUUGUACUGUUACAGUCUAUAGGACUGAUAGCACGUCUCGAACUUCGUCACUGGAUCGACCGAGUCCCUAUGGCCUGUAUCUAUAAGGGCAAUCGAAAUCAUGAUUCCAAUUACUCUCCAGCAAGAUCAGCAAGGCUAAUCCAUGAUUAGGAGCUAGGUAAUGCAACCCUAAUCACGGUCCAACUCCCUAAUCCAACCCAACAAGAGAAAACUCGUCAAAGGUAAUAUAAAUAACACAUAUUCUAAGGAUCAGGUACAUUAUCUACCGUGCUCUAGCUAUCGAGUGUCGAACCCUUUUGUUGACUUUAGCGUCAAAGUGUCUUCUGCAUGUACUCUCAUUCGGUACUCACGAGACGACCGAGAACCGAGGCUAGGAAGGAAAGGAGAGGAACGAGUAAGAAAGGAAGUUGAAGAGUAGCACAACCGACCCAUAAAAAAGAAGAAGACGAGUUCUCUCAAUAGUUUUUUAGGCCCCAUCCCCGAACGAAAAUAAAUACAUUUAUUAAAAAUAAAAACAGUAAACAUAAUAAAAAAAUAGUUACCACACUUAAUAGAAAAAAACUCUAUAUAAAAAAAAAUUAUUAAAAACUUACGUGAAGGUGAAGGCAGAGAAGAAACCGUGUGAUAAACAUAACCAACCAAAGAACCACUGCAAUCAGACACAAGAAGAUGAACCAAGAUCCAAUCUGAAAAAAAAAAAAAAAACAGAAUGAAUUCCAAUAUUUUUCUCAAAUAAUGACUGAUAAGAUUAAUAAAAAAACUCACACAAAAAUUAAAAUAAAAUGCAACAAUUGUUAUGAUUUAAAGAAGAGGACGGCAACGAAUUUUCGAAACUUUAGACGAGUAAAAAGAAACGAGAUAGGUGAAUUAUAUAGCAAAACCUUUUACUAUAAUAGUAAAACAAAAUUAAGAAAAAAUGUUUAAUUAUUUAUUUUUUAUAUUUUAUUAAAGAAGGAAAUAAAUGGUUAUGUAUGGAGAGGGAAAAGAAUGAAAUUUGGGGAGGAAGGAAUAUGAGAGAAGAAAAGGAAAAGGAUAAAGUGUUGGAAGUGAGGAUUAAUUAUUUCUUAAUUAGAUAUUUAUUUAAAAAUAAUAGAAAUUAAUUUAAAAAUUAAAAAAGAAAAAUUUAAAUAAUUUUUAAUUUAUUUAAUAUUGUAAUUAAUUAUUUUGGUAUUUAAAAGUUGUUUUUUAUUUGAUGAUUGUCUUGUAGUAAUAGAUGACAAACCAUUAUAAUAUUAUAAUAAUAUUUUAUUUUAAAAAUUAAAUUAAAUUAUUAAAAUAUUAAUUUAUUUGUUUGUGAAAUUAUACUGUAUAUAGUGUCCACAUAUCACCAAUCAUUUAAAAUUCUCUACAUCACAAUUUACUGUCUUUUUUGUUUAGUAUGUGAAUUUAUCAGCUUAUUGUGAUUUUAGUUUCUCAAUUUACCCACAUCCCAGGUUAAUAUCUUUUUAAUUCCUAAAAUUAGUUACACAAUGUCAAUUAAGAGAUUAAAGUAGAAAUAAAAUGCUAAAUUCAGAAACUAAAAUACUCAUAAAUAAUUAAAUUCGGAGCUAAAACGAUAAAAUACAGUAAAGUCUGGGAUAAAAAAUUAAUAAAUAAAUAAUGAUAAAGUUAUAGUUUUACCUUAAUUUUUGAAUUUUAGUACUUUCAAAAACUGUUCUUUACCUGUUUUGUGCGACCAACUUAGCACACUGUUGUGUUUCGCGGCUGGGCUGCUUCAUUUCUCUACCACCACCAACAACCAUCGUCUUGUCACCUCAGAGUCAUCUACAGUUGUUCUUGGGGAUUUUGUGUUUUCAUUCACAUUUCACACUUACAUUAAAGGUAAAAACGAUUUUGAAUAUAUAGAUUUUGUUUGCAUAUUGCACCCAUUUUCUUUGUAUUCUUGGCACUGGCUUUUACUUUUUGGAAAAAGGGUUUGUCUCUAACAACGUGAGAAACUGUUGGAAUACCUGUUGGGAGAGAUUAAGCAUAGUGUUUGAAGCAAAAUUGUAUCUUGGAAUGGGAAACAAAAAGUUUAGACAACAGGGUUAACAAAACAAUACUCAUAUCCAUUCUCUCUAUAUUGGUUGUCAUGUACCUGGGUCUGAACAGUUAUACUAUGUUGCAUCUCAGUUCAAAAUGGUCAAAUUUUUCAUUUUCAUCAAUGUCAUUUGUUAUCAAUGUCAUGAUAUUUAGUUUCUCCAUUUGUUGUGUUUAAUGUUUGCUUUAUGAAAACAAGAGAGAUUUAUUCAUUAAUGCUAAGUAGUUAACUCUCUAUGGACUGUAGUAAUCUAAACAGUUUAGCUUUUUCACUUUCCAUUAUCAGUCCUUCUACACCUCUUUCUUCCAAGUCUUGCUACCAUGAAAAGUAGACAUGUCUAUAAUUAUGUGGUUCUGCAUCUAAAUUAUAAUAUAACACUAUAUUAAUAAAUUAGUUUCCAAAAUUAUGGAUUCUAGUUAAUUAGUAUAUGAAAUUGUAAAAGUAUAAUUGGAGUCAUCAAAGUUGGAGGAGUCAUUAUAAUAUUUCAGUACAAGAAUUAAAUUGGCUAAUGAUCUAGAACUAAAUUAUUUGUCAUUUUUUUAAUAUCUAGAAUUCAUAUAACAUUUUAUAAAUUAAAAAAAAACCAUAUGUAUAAAUGAUUUUAUUCAACAAGAGAAUCAUUAAUAAUGUAUUCUUUGUUCACCUCUGGACUCUGUCACUCUAUGUGUGUAUGUGUGUAUACACAGUCAAUUUUAAAUUUUAAAUAUGGUUUUAAUUCUUGUAAUCUACUUUCUGAUAUGUUUCUGGUCACUCUACACAAACUCAGCUUAUCUCUCAAUCUUAAAUAAUUAUGAUUUAAUUUACUGUUUAAAGAAAAAAAUCAGUUAAGUUGUAAAAAAAAAUUGUAUUGUUUUUUUCAUUUUUUUUUUAAAUUUUUAGAAAAUUAAACCAAAUUUUCUUUAAUUAUUUACUUUUAUUUUUUCAUCUUUUGUCCUGAACUUUAAUUGUAGAAUGUCCUAAAAAAACUAAACUCUGGAGAGCAUUAUUAAAAAGAAAAAAGGGAGAGAAUUGGUUGCUUGCUCGCGAAGUAUGAGGGUCUAAACAAAGUUAUAAUACUAUAUUUCCCAUUAUGAAUCUUUUAAAGAAGCAUUUUGUUUCAGUUUAUCGUAUACUCUUGGUUGACAAGUUUGUGAAGGAAAGGCCCCGAACACACAUUCAGAGCUUUAUUCACCAUUACUUCAAGGUAAAAGUUCUGAAUCAAAACCUCAUAUAUCUUUCUUCUGUAUCAAGUACAUGUUCUGUAAAUUGUUUUCUAUGACUGACUUCACUUGUUUUGAAUUUGAACACAUUUUAGAAUCACUUGAAAGAAAAUGGCAGAACAAAAUAAGGAAUGGGCUGUGGGAAUUGACCUUGGCACAACAUACUCAUGUGUUGCUGUAUGGCUAGAGGAACACUGUCGAGUGGAGAUAAUUCACAAUGAUCAGGGCUGUAGAACAACGCCUUCAUCUGUGGCUUUCACAGAGAAUCAAAGAUUGAUCGGUGAUGCUGCUAAAAAUCAGGCUGCUAUUAACCCAACUAACACUGUCUUUGGUAAAUAAUUGCUUUUUAUUGCAUGUGAAUUCAUUUAAAUGUUUAAACUAGUUAUUUGUGUUGGCUUUUAGUUGCAAAUGAUACCUUAACAUUCAUCAUUUACUUUGUGCCAAAAAGUAUACUUUUUGUCCAGUACUCUAAUUUGUUCUAUAACUUUAAAUUAAUAAAUAUCAUUCCAUAAGACUAUUUUGAUUAGCAUCAUUGAGGAAUAGCCUUAAAUUCGUGCUCGAUUAAUGACUAAUUUUGCAGAUGUGAAAAGGUUAAUCGGCAGAAGAUACAGUGAUCCCAUUAUCCAGGACGAUCUAAAGUUGUGGUCAUUUAAGGUCAUUGCUGAUUCUGAUGACAAACCCAUGAUAGCUGUUUCAUACAAAGGUCAGGAGAAACACAUUUCAGCUGAAGAAAUCUCAUCUAUGAUCCUCACAAAGAUGCGGGAGACUGCAGAAGCGUACUUGGAAUCAGGGGUUAAGAAUGUUGUGGUUACUGUGCCUGCUUAUUUUAAUGACUCUCAGCGACAAGCAACCAAAGAUGCUGGUACCAUUGCUGGCCUCAAUGUCAUGCGGAUAAUCAAUGAACCCACAGCUGCAGCUCUGGCAUACGGCCUUGACAAGAGAGCAAAAUGUGUUGUUGGAGAGAGAAAUAUUUUCAUCUUUGAUCUUGGUGGUGGUACAUUUGACGUGUCUCUGCUCACAAUCAAGGGUGAUGUCUUCAAAGUCAAGGCCACUGCUGGUGACACGCACCUUGGAGGAGAGGACAUGGAUAACAGAAUGGUAAAGUACUUCGUUGAGGAGUUCAAGAGGAAGAACAAAGUUGACAUCAAUGGGAACCGGAGAGCCUUGAGGAGGUUGAGAACUGCUUGUGAGAGAGCAAAAAUAAUAAUAAUAAUUGAAUGCGGACUGACCCACAAACUCAUGGGCCAGCACUUAUGCAGAGCGAGACCGAAAAUCACUCGUGCAAGAUUUGAGGAGCUCAACUUGGACCUCUUUAAAAGGUGUAUGGAGACAGUAGAUAUGUGUCUUGUUGAUUCUAAGAUGGACAAGAGUGAUGUAGAUGAUGUUGUUCUCGUUGGUGGUUCUUCUAGGAUUCCCAAAGUGCAACAGCUAUUGCAAGACUACUUCAAGGGGAAGGAACUGUGCAUGAGCAUCAACCCUGACGAGGUUGUUGCUUAUGGAGCAGCAAUUCCCAACUUAGUGUUAUUAGAUGCUACACGGCUGUCACUUGGUAUAUCUUUAAAAGGAGAUCUCAUGAGUGUUGUGAUUCCUAGGAACACCACCAUUCCUGUUGAGAAGAAAAAAGUAUAUGUUAAGAUCAGAAGAUUUCCCAAUCUUAUGUCCAAAGUAAAGGUUUACGAGUGUGAAAGGACAAUAGCAAGUGAUAACAAUUUGCUUGAUUUUUUUAAUCUUUAUGGCAGUCCUUAUGCUCUUUGAGGCCAUCCUUUAACUGUAAGUUUCAGUAUAGAUGUUGAUGGUACUUUAAGUGUAAUUGCUGAGGAAGAAAGCAGUGGAAGUAAGAACGGGAUUACUGUAACCAACGACAAGGGAAGACUAUCAACUCAACAAAUUAUGAGAAUGAUUCAAGAUGCCGAGAUAUACAAGGCUGAAGACCAGAAGUACCAAAAGAAAGUUCAAGCAAUUGAUGCUAGCCAGCAGACAGAAACAGAGGUGUUUGUGGAUCAUCUGAAUGAGGUGAAGAGCCUCAUUGAACUCAUUAUGAGGAUUAACUAGUUUGUUUCAAAACUCAAAUUUGGAAAAUCGAUUAUGCUUCUUGAAAAACAUCACAAUCGAUUUUUUAAAUUAUUCUGAAUGUAUAGUGUUGAUAAAAAAAAUAAGAUAAACCAGUUAUUUAGUUUCUCAAACCACUUUUCUUGUUCCUCAAAGCACGAGCUCUCUCGUUUUGUUCUAGGAAGAAGAGCAAAUCACAACAAACAAAACUAUCACAAAACUAAUUUUAUUUAUACACAAAGUUCACGUUCAUGAGUCUACAAUUUUUUUGUCAAGAUUCUUUUGCACCCAGCACUGUAAAGAAGAAAACCGAAAACUCAUUCACAUGCAGAUGCCUACAUUGUUUAAUAUAUUUGAUGGAAGGGUAACAAAAUAAAUUAGUAUUUGUGCUUCUAUAUUCCGCGCAAAUCUUCUCAGUUUUAUGAAGAGUGAAAAAACUAUCUACCCUGCUCUCCCAUCCGCACUCACACUCUCAUAUACACUCAUCCAAACAAAAACUCUUUCCACUUCCCUUCCUCCUCUUUUGUCACACCUUGAAGCAAAUAGGAUGUAAGAUUGAGGACAUGCAAAUGAACAAGAUUACGUGAACCUUCCUAACCCAUUAGACAUCAUAUGAUAGUUUUAUUUAUAUAUUGAUUUGAUCUAUUUAGAAAAAAUGUCAAAUCUAAGCAUUUAUAAGCAAAGUUGGAAGUUUUUAGAAAAUAGUAGGCUUGAACCUCUUUUAAGUUAUAGUAUUUUUUUUUUUAUGCUAUAUCAAUAUUAUAUGAGUUAAAAUUGUUUUAAAUAAUUUUCAUUUUUGAGAUCCAUCUAAUACUCCAAACCAAACAAGCAUUAUCAACAAUUCCAUUUUUAUGCAAAAUUCAUCCAUAGAUAAAAAUAAAACAUGCAACAAAAAUAACUAACUGAAAAAUAAAUUAUACACCAUAAUAACUUUAUAUUAUCAUACAAUGACACAGUGUAAAAUAAAGAUAUUAACUUUUACUAUUAUCAAAACUUUAUCUGCCAAACGUUUAAAAUCAAACAAUUUCAACAAAAUCUUUAAAUUUUAUUGGACUUUCCUCAUCUGUAUCUAUUUCUACAGAAAUGGCUUUAACUGCUUACUCGUAUUAACAGCUACUUUCGUAUAAAAUAUAUGUUGACAAAUUAUUCAUGGGCAUAAUUUAUUCUAAAUUUUUCACCAAACACUUGCAAAUAUCACUCAAUUCACAAGAUAAACCGGGCCAUAAAUUAUCUAUUCCAGACGAAACCAUGAAGCAUAAAAUUGACAACUGAAAGUAGCUAAAUAAACUAAAAGUUCAUGAAAAUCGAGAGUUAUUUUCGUAACUUCAGAUAAGCCUUUUUCAAAAGCGAUAAAAAUGAACUCCUACUCAACCGUACAAAAUACUAAAAAUGUAGAAAAUAUCAAUACACCAAUUCUUCCAUCUUAACAAUGCAAUGCUACAUAGUAUCACUAGCAAAAUAAAACCGGUAAAACACAACUAAAAAAAAAGAUAGUCCCAGGGAACAGCAAGGGGACAAAAAUAUCAACUCUGAGGCGAUGCUUUAGCAACGGCAGUCUGAGGCUGAGUGUUCCCACUGGCAUUACCAUCGGCAGUAUAUGCUGGAGCCUGAGUAUAACCAGCACCAUAAGAACUACUGCUGUAUGGAGGCGGUGCCUGACCAUAAGUAGGCUGGCCACCCUGAGGUGCACCAUAUGUUUGAGAACCAUACCCUGGUUGCCCUGCACCAUAUCCCGAAGGUGGUGCUCUCUGAGCACCAGAUUCUGGUUGGGGUUGAGAAUAACCAGAUGGUGGAGGCUGCGCAGGAUAUGCUGACUGACCAUAGCCUCCUACCGCACUAGGUGACUGUGACUGUCCAUAAACAGGAGGAUUAGCACUUGGCUUUUGAGAUUGAGGGGCUCCAUAACCUGGCUGUGGUUGACUUCCAUAAGCAGCUUGGGAUGUAGGGGGAACCCCAUAACCUGACUGAGGAGUUCCCUGAGGUGGGUAGCUGGCAGUGUUUGAGCUGGGCUGUUGGCUGGUAGGAUAACCUUGCUGUGGCUGUUGGGUAGAUGGAGCUUGGGCUGAAUCUCCCUGAGAUGCAUAACUUGCAGUGUGGCCAUCUGGUGCUGAGUUAUUCCCACUACCAUAGCCGGUAGUAGCUGACCCAUAGCCUUGCUGCUGAUCAUAUGCUGGUGGCUGUCCAUACCCUGAUUGAGAUUGUGCAUUGUAUGCAUUAUAGCUGUCCUGAGCAUAACCCUGUCCGGGUUGGCUAUAACCAAAAGAAGGUGGUUGACUGUAACUGUAAGCAGAGCCAUCCGCUGGAGGUGCAGGGCCUCCAGGAUUUUGCGGUUGCUGUGGCUGUUGACUAUAGUAAUCAUAGCCACCAGCUUGAGUAGACUGUUGGUGAGGUGGUGCAGAAGACUGGUCCCAGCUGGUGGAAUAUCCACCUGGUUGUUGAGGAGGAUAGCCUGCAUAAGGUGGUUGAGGCAUAUUAUACUGAGGUGAUGGACCAGAAUAUGCUCCAGGUUGCAUAUAGCCAUAACCAGGUUGCUGCAUUUGAGCAGGGGGAGCCCAGUUCGAGGGUGGUCGAGAUUGGUAGCCUUGCUGAGGAUAUCCACCAGACAUUGAAGGAUUUCUAACACGAUUCUGUGGAGACAAAUUCAAACCAAAUAUGAAGAGUGAAUUCACCCAAGUUUCCACAUUUCGAGUACAGAAAUCAACAGAUGCACACACAUACACAGGUUAAACUUACGCAGUUAAGAAUAAACAUGAAGAACACAAGAUAAAGUAUACAAGUUGCAUAAAAAGAUUGCAUACAAGAAUAGAAAGGGAUAUAUAUACCAACAUACCGUACUGGUUCGUGAUAAAACUGAGUUACUCCAGCAGCACACCUUUUCCCUAUUCGAAUUGAAUGGGUACAAAAGGAAGCACAGACCAAAGAAGCAGACAAGCAUACAAUUUGAAUUGCUUAAAAAGGCAAUCCAUCAUAUAGUAUCACAAAAUAUGUAUGAUCUUAUCUCAAUUAUUACACCAUAUAAUAUAUUCUUCAUAAUCAUAUUAAUUCAACUAGAGUAUCAGGACUACAAAUAUUUUACUGCAUAUGAUGAAGGAGUAACCAUAAAUAUACAGACUGUCAAGACCACUUCCCUGUUCUCCCAUGUACCUCCUUUUAACCUUUGUUUAACCCACUCUAACAGGUUAACCUCAAAGGAUUAUAAAAUAAAAGAAAAUUAAAUUAAAUAUUAUUUGAGUAGAACAGGAAUUGAAAAUAGGGACCUGAAAAUGUAUUUAAUGUGUGUAACUCGAGCGUCAAAACUAUCAGUUAAAGGGCACAAGAUUAAGAAAAACAGUUGAAUGAUAAGACAGAUAAAAAGUGGGCAUGGGCUAUAGAAAGGCAAUGAUGCCACAAGAAAUGAACAACCCACUACACACAUCCGAAACAACAGACGGAUCAUAAAAGAAGUCUUGACACAUAACUUGUUAGUUUAAACAAUUAUAACUAUAAAUUGAUGAAGUAAUAGUAUAGGAAAGUUAUUUUUCCUCACAAUAGCAACUACAGGUUAUUAUGCCAAAUGUAAGUCCAGCAUAAGACACAAAUAUAAAAUAUUUUUUCAAAUAUAUGAAGUUUUUACGAAUUAACUAAAAAGCACAAUUGGCAUGGUUGAAAAGGAUUUCAACACAAUAAUCAAUAUAGUUUAGUAAGGACACUGUAAGUAAAAAAAUGUAUCAAUAGGAGACUUACUGCCCUUGAUAACAAUUAUCAAAACUGAGAUUUAGAACCAUACCAGGGCAUGAUGAGGGAACACCAACAAAGGAAUUCAUGUUGGUGUCACCAAUGGUCCAAUAGACACUAUAAUCCUACAAUAGUCCCAAUAACAAGAUCAGUCAUAGGAUACACAGUUAAUAAUAUUCCAUUGUUGAACAGGCUAUAAUCCCAAUGAGAAUCCACUUGGACAAAAAAAUGUCAUAAUAAUAGUAGCCUUCAUGGCCCCCAGCAACCUAGCCCACAAAAGCGUUGAAAGACCCACCACACUAAUGAACUGGGCCAUGAGAAAAACUUUACCACAGUUAAAACAGUCUUUGCAAGAUCUUGGCAUCUUGGGGAGAAAAGACAAUCCAAUUCGAAAAUAAUCCCAUUAAGGUCCUCACUUUCUGUAUGUAUAAAAAUCGGUAUGAUUUAUUAUCUAAUAAUAUAGCAGAUAACAAUGACACACAAACACAUAUAGACACAGUUUUUUACCAUUGACCUAAGCUAAGACCAAACUAAAGAUACUGAUCUGUGAAUAUGGUACUACUAAAUCAGGACCCAAUUCAUGAACAUACCAUACAUUUGUUAACACCAUAAUAUAGCUGAUAAAUAUCAUGGAUACUACAGUGGCUUGUCUCCCUAAUCAUGUCUGUUUUUGGUGAGCAAAUGCAACUAAGCGGAGGACAAUUGGAGAUUACAAGUAAAAACAUCAUAACAUCAAUUGGCAAUUCAGUGUGUUUUGUUUUAAAGUUGGGAAGUCUCAAACGGAAGUUGAACUCAUUCAGACUAGAGAGAUGGAUUGGAGUGUGUAACUGUUAAACAAGCACACAAUUUAUCUUCCACCAUUUUGCAUUUUUUUAUACUAGUCUUGAAACAAAACUAUGCACUAAUUCUCUUCCAGGAACAAUACAACAAGUAACAGACAUCCAUCGAUAUAGAUGUAUCAAUUAUCAAAAGAUUACUUGUUGAAUAUACUUACAGCUGAAGAAACAGUGCUUAUUUAAACAUAUACUUACAGCUAAAAAGUCAAUUUAAUCAGGAGAUCAAUGAAUUCAGAACAUAUAAGUUGAUUGAUAAUGCUCACGAUAUGAAGUAAUAUCAUUAAUAAGAUCAAUGAAUUGAUAAACAUGGACGUAAACAUCAUUUAUGCCAACUAAGGUGAAAUCAUCACAUAAUUUACCAAAUUAUUCUCUCCCAGCAAUGAAACAGAAUAAAUUAUUGAAGACAAUCCAAAACUCGUCUAACAUGUUAAUGAAUCCAUCAGUUCUAGUUUUAUAUUUUAUUUUAACAUCAUACCAAAUAACAAAGUUCUAGUUCUAAAUUUUAUUUUAAUAACAUACAAAAAUAACGAAGACCCAGGAGGCAAUUACAAGUGCACAAUAUCAUCCUUACAAUCACAUAAAGUCACCAAUGUGAUCAAAUAAACAUUCUAAAAGAUGAUUAUAUAUCAGCAACAAAAAGAAAACAGAACCGAGUACAAAAUCCACAAUUUAAACACUAAACUGUACUUCGCACAAGGCAGGCAUGACAUGCUAAGCCAAAUGUAUCCACCAGAGAAAAUUUUUAACAUACCUCACCACUGAUGACUUGAUUAACCAACUGCUUUGCAGACUCAAUUUGCUCAGAAGUCCCAUCAAUUUUUAAUGUUCUUUCAGUUGAUGUGUCACCUGGGGGAAGAUGAAGUGGUAUCACCUGGAAAAAUAUAGACAUUAGUAUAAAGUGACUCCAGAGGAAUUUCCAAGCCUCGAGUGUCAGAAGUUAUCAUACUCUUUCAUAUUAGCAGUAAUCACAAAGCCACAGUAAAAAAACAUAUCACGAAAUCCAAGCAACUAUGAUUUAGCACCUAUGUCUAAUACACAAUGAAGACAACAAUAUACUCUUUAUGACUUAGAAGUGAAAACCUGAAUCCGUGCACCAGUAGAAGCUUGCAUAUUCUUUAUAGUUUCUCCUCCUUUACCAAUUAUAAGACCAACCUGAAGAUGCAUACAACAAACUAUAUCAACCAAAUCAAUAACACAGAAAUGAAUUAAAACAUUGCACAAAUCUUAAGAUUAUACAAAUCUUAAGAUUAUACAAAUCUCCUUUUUCAGACCUUAUUAUUUGGGAUUUUCAUGACAAAUUCAUCGGACCCAGCUUGUCCAGUCAGUCUCCGAGCAACAAUGCCAGAACCCCCAGAUUCAGCCUGGUACAGAAACAAUUCACGCCAGAUAUAUGUUAAUAUUAAAUCUUCGAGGAAAUUCAUUCGGAAACUAUUCAUGUUAUUCAUAUUAUUACAACUAUCAUUCGGACAACAUCUGAGAUAAUUACACAAAUAUCCCCACAUGCAUAAUUUGCAGAAAAAAAAAACUAAUAAUGAUGCGUGAAACCUCAGCAAGAACUUCAUUGAUGAGUUUCUCAGCAGAGGCAAUUGCCUCGGGAGUGCCCAUAAGCUCAACCGUCCUAGUAGUGGAAUUAGGGUCCGCGUCCAUAUCACGAGUAACUUGAAUUUUGGCACCAGACUGCAACUGGAGAUACUUAAUGGUCUCUCCAGCUUUGCCAAUAAUCACACCAACCCUGCCGUUAGGGAUAUCAAUCUUCUUACUCGUUCCUUGUUGACUGUAGGAAACGGGAGGAAUGGCCGAGUACUGAGGCUUCGCAUCUACGUUCACAGAAAUCAGAGUGUAUAAAACCCUAACCUAAACAAGAAGAAGAGUGGAGAAGAGAAGGAUAUUUAGUUACCGUAAGAAUCGAAGCCAGAGGUAGGAGCACCGUUAUCGGGUUUGGGACGCUUAGCAUCGAGCGGGGGAGGAGGAGUAACGCUGAGGAGGCGAGCGGCGACUUCUUGAGCACGCUGCUUGGCGAGCUCGAUGCCGGUAGCAGGGCCCGCUGAGAAUCCGGUGGGUCUGUCGGAGGGUUGGUCUUCGUACUUGCGCUUGAGGGAUGCCGACUCGGUUCCCGAUGAAUACUGCGCUUCCUCCGCCAUUGGCACAAACCCUAGCCACUCGCGUUACCUGUGUAGGGAGAGCGAGAUAUUUUACUUCGCUUGGGCAACCAAAAAUCACAAGGUGUCUCUACGUCACGGUUGUAAGAAGAAAUUAUAUUUAAAGACAAAUUUUAUUUUCAGAUAAUUGUAAUAUAUUUAUUAUGCAUUACUUCUCCCUUCUUCGAUUAGGCAUUUUAAUAUUUCCUUUCUUUUUUAUAUAUCAUUUUACACUAUACUUUCAAAACUAUUUAAAAAAAAAUCAAUGACUCAAAGUAUCGUCUCUUUUUUAUCAUUGUAAGUAUAUUUGAAAUUUUAUGUCUAAUACUUUUCAUUUAUUUUCUCUCAUUUAUAUAUAUAUAUGAUGAUGAACUUCAACAAUUUCUAUUAUAAACAUAAAUUGUUAAACUAAUUUUAUAGUACAAAGUUUAGCUUUAAUGUAUAACUUAUAUAUUAAAAUUGUACUGUGUGCACUACGACUAACCACACAUUUCACUUUCCACCAUUGGAUCGACUGAAGAUAAGGUCUUCAUAGUGGGUCGACCAACAACUCAAAUCCAAUUACACUUAAGCAGAGUCAGUGAAGUUAAUCUACGAUUAAAAGUUAGGUAAUGUAUUCUUAAACAUGGUCCAACUCCCUAAUAUGGCACAAUAAGAAAUACCCAUUAAAAUAAUAUACAUAGCCCACAUUCCAAGAUUCAGGUACGUCAUCAUAUACAGUGCUCUGACAACUGAGCGUUGAAUACCUUUACUGACUUGAGUGUCAGAGUGUCUUCUGCAGAUACCAUCCGAGUCUGGACUACGAGAAGACUGAUAGGUGAGACGAGUAAGGGGGAGUAAGGAGGGAAGCUGAAGUGCAAUCCGACCGAUAGACUAAGGAAGGAGAAGAGUGAUCUCAAUAGUACUCUGGGCCCUGACCCCGUUCGAGAACUAUUGACGCCCACCGUGGGGCCGAGAGAAUUCGUGUGAAGAGCGUUAGUAGAUGGUAUCAACCCGCAGCAUGGCAAGUGAGAGGAUUACCGAAGUUGAGCAGAUGAUGUUGUUGAUGUCUCUACAAAGAGAGAUGGUCGAGAUGAGGAGGAAGAAUGAAGAGGUUAACAAGAAGAAUGAGGAGGAGAUUCUAGCCCUUAUGAGGGAGAACACGGAGAUGAAGAGAAGUUUGUCGAGGGGGACCGUCUAUUGUACUGACUAACCUCGUCGGUAGGUCGUUCACCUCCCCUCGCGACCCAAAAAUAGUUGAGGAGACCAAGAACAAGGUCCUUCUCAAGAGAUGGAUGGCAAGUCCCAUCCAAACAAGUCAAUCCACACAAUUGGGACCUCAGAUUCAGUGCAUCGACAUCCCUUUACCGAUUAUGUAAUUGAGGUACCACUACUGGAUAAGUGGAAAGGCUUCAAUAAGGAUCGUUAUGACGGCACAACCGACCUAGAUAAGCACAUGGAUGAGUACAGUAUACCACAUGGUUGGCCAACGUGGUCAUGGUUACCAAGUCUAAUGACAAGUGGAGGAUGUGCGUCGACUAUACGAACCUCAAUAGGGCCUACCCGAAGGAUUCGUAUCCGCUUCCUAACAUCAAUUGGUUGGUAGAUGGAACAACCGUCCACAAAAUCCUAAGCUUCUUGGAUGUUUACUCUAACUACAACCAGAUAAGCAUGCACCAUUGGGACAAGGAGAAAUUUGUCUUUAUAAUUGACGACGCCAACUAUUACUAUGAGGUGAUGUGGUUCGGUGUAAAGAACGCUGGAGCAACCUACCAGCGGCUCAUGGAUAAGAUCUUUAAGGGACUUAUCAGUCGGUGUGUGAAGGUUUAUGUGGAAAACAUAGUGGUCAAGUCUGACUCGUGUGACCAACACAUCAAGGAUCUUAAAGAGGUGUUCGAAGCGAUGAGGUGGGCGUACAUGAGGCUCAAUCUAGAAAAGUGUGCAUUCGGUGUUGAGGGUAGUAAGUUCUUGGGUUUCAUCCUAAUCCAUCAGGGGAUAAAAGCCAAUAUGGACAAAUGUCGAACGAUCACAGAGAUGCGGAGCCCUCAGAACAUAAAGGAAGUUCAGUAGCUCAUAAAGCGUCUUACCGCCCUCUCUAGGUUCGUCCCUCAAUUGGUCGAGAGGACGAGGCUGAUGGUGCAGCUACUCCGCAAGAUAGCUAAGUUCAGUUGGUACGAGAAGUGUGAAGAAAUUUUUCAACAACUGGAGGAUUUCUUAUCCUCGUCAGUAGUUAUCCAGAAGCUUAGACCCGACCAACCCAUUCUGGUGUAUCUGUCAGUCUCCGAAAAGGCUUGCAACGUUGUGCUGGUUUAAGAAGUGGUGAUCUCCUUUUGGACCAAGCUCUCUAGUUUGGAUUUAAGGUCACCAAUAACCAAGCCGAGUAUGGGGUUAUCCUAGCCGAGCUAAACUUGUCGUAUGACAUGAGAGCUCACGAGGUAACUUGCAAAAGCGACUCCCAGGUAGUGAUCGAUCAAAUCAAAGGAGAGUUCGAAGUAAAGGAACCCUUGCUCCAGAGAUAUUAUCAUACGGUCGACAACCGCACAACCCGGUUUCAAAAAGUGCGGUGGAACACAUCCGUCGGCAUGAAAACAAGAAAGCCGAUGCAUUGUCUCAGCUACUGACGACCAAGAAGAAGAGCCACCACAAGUCUGUCAUGCAAAUUUGGCUAAGACAACCUAGUGUGGCAGAAGCCGAGUGCCUAACUGUUACUGAGACCAAGACUGGGAUGACCCCGAUCGUCCAGUACCUUAAGCACGACACGUCCAAAUCAGACGAGGAAAAGGCGAUGAAGCAACAAUGUUCAAGGUACACUAUGAUCAACCAGUAUCUCUACGCAGGAUCAAUGUUCAAGGUACAUUACUCAAGGUCAUUACUAAAGUGCAUCACCAAAGAACAGACAGAGUACGUCCUCAAGAAAAUCCAUGAAGGAGUUUGCGACAAUCAUUCAAAAGCACAAACGAUGGUUAUCAAAAUCCUCAAGGUCGGUUACUACUGGCCGACCGUCCAGGGUGACUAUGCAUAAUUUGUGAAGAAAUGCGUCAAGUGCCAAGAGUUCGAUCGUCUGCACCACCUUAAGCCAUAAGCGAUGCAUAGUAUGACAUCCCCAUGGUCGUUCUCCAUCUGGGAAUGGACAUCAUUAGUCCUUUCACUCCGGGGAAGGGGCAGGAAAAAUUAUUCCUAGUCGGAGUGGACUACUUCAUCAAAUGGAUCGAGGUCGAAUCGCUCACAUCCAUCUCGGUGAAAAACGUGCAAAACUUCAUAUGGAGAAGUAUUGUGUGUCGGUUUGAAGUGUCGCACACUAUAAUAACUGAUAAUGACCAACAGUUCAUCGAUCGAGGACUUUAGUCUUUCUAUGAUGACCUUGGUAUCAAGUCAAUAACCAGCUCGGUCGAGCAUCCCCGAAUCAACGGGCAGGUCAAAGCUGCAAACAAGGUCAUUUGAACAAAUUGAAACAUCAACUCGAUGGACCGAGGAACUACUGGAAUUUCUGUGGGCAUAUCGUUGCACCCCCAAACAUCCACACAAGAAUCACCGUACAACCUAACGUAUGGAACUAAAGUUAUGAUCCCGGUUGAGAUAGGCGAGUGAUGAGCAUAUAUUUAUUCACACUCAAUAACUUUAAUCAUGGAUUAUUGGAUUAUGAUAAUAAAUAAAUCCAUUGUUUUAAUUUAGAUUUAUAUAAUUGGGUUUAUUUGGGUCUUUAUUGUUAAUUUUGUGUUUUUAAAGUAAAUUAUCUGGAGGAAGCAUAUACAUUUGUAAAUGGGUCAAAUAUGCAAAAGUUCAAGUUGCUUCUUGAACCAAAACAGGAAACAAAUUCUGGAGAGAAGAAAGAGAAAAUAAAAUCUACAAUAUCUCAGAAACAAAAUUGGAAGCAAAUCUUCUGCAAAAUACAAUAAUUUUGGAAAGUUGGAAACUGUUAACAAAAUAUAAACUACAAUAUUUUUCCAAGAUCCUUUGAGCAGAAAAGCCUAUAAAAGGACACAAGCAUCGAGGAGAAAAAUAGAGUUUCAUAGGGUUUUUUUAGUUUUUUUUCUUCUUUGUAAUUCUUUUAUUUUGUCUCUGCAUGGAAGGCUAAACCUUUUUUGUUGAUUCUUUUGUAAUUCCCCAUUGAGUUUUGAGGUUUUUUUCAAUAAAAGUUUCGAUUUUUAAUUAUGUAUAACAGUUGUUUUAAUAGUCUAAUCUCCUGGAAAACUGUUUUUUAUGAGAGGUUGUACUUGAACGCAUGAUUGAGAGUCUUCCUUAUCUUAAACUUUGGUUUCUUAGUUAGUACGUAUUGUUCUAAUUAAUUUAUUGGGCGCAUGAUUCAAGAGAGAGGUGGUAAGCAUUCCCAUGGAGUAUACGCAUGGAACAAAGUGGGUAUUGGUUAAACCAGUAGACACAUGCUUUACUGGUGAGUUUCAGUUGAAUCAGAUCGGCUCAUGUUCAAUCUGGUUUAACUCUGUUGAAGGAUUAAGAAAAGAUUAAUCUUUAGAGAACUUGUGAAGAAUUCAAUGGAGGAAGAACUUGGGAUCAACCGCUUUUUAUUUGUUGUUUCAAAUAUCUUUUACAUUGCAUACAUAACUAUCUUAACCCCUUUUUAUUAUUAUUGUUGUUGCUAACUUUUAUUGCUUGCAGGUAGAUUCUAAACACUGAUCUACUGAUUUUACUAUUGGAUUCAUUGGGAGACGACUUGGGGUCAUCUGACCACAAUUAUACUAUCAUCUCUAUAGUGUUAGACAAGUCUACGCUAGAAUCAUAUUAACUCUGUUGGAGGAUUAAGAAAAAAUUAAUCUUUAGAGAACUUGUGAAGAAUUCAAUGGUGGAAGAACUUGGGAUCAACCGCUUUUUAUUUGUUGUUUCAAAUAUCUUUUAUAUUGCAUACAUAACUAUCUUAACCCCCUUUUUAUUAUUAUUGUUGUUGCUAACUUUUAUUGCUUGCAGGUAGAUUCUAAACACUGAUCUACUGAUUUUACUAUUGGAUUCAUUGGGAGACGACUUGGGGUCAUCUGACCACAAUUAUAUUAUCAUCUCUCUAGUGUUAGACAAGUUUACGCUAGAAUCAUAUUAAUUUGACAGCAAAACGACAACUAUCAGCGAGCCUACCAUUCGAAGGAAACUGUUUGAUAUGUUAAACGAGCUCCGCGACAAGAGCAAAAUCCGUGAGACCACGUGCAAUCUUUAAGUGGCAAGGCAGUACAACAUAAAGGUCCGACCGAGUAGCUUUCAAAAGGGAGAUCUUGUAUGCAGAAUGAGAAGCGAAGCAAGGAAUAAUGAUGACAAGUUCUCAUCUAAUUGGGACGACCAUUUUCAGGUAUGAGAGGUUGCAGUUGGGGGGGCGUACCACUUAGAGUGGUUAUCAGAAAAAAUUGUACGAAGGACGUGGAAUGUCACACACCUCAAGUUUUAUUAUAGUUAAACAAGCAAUAAAACUUGUGCACUUUUACCUCACCCGACCUUUUUUCCCUAAGGAGGGUUUUUGGUGGGACAGGUUUUAACGAGAUAUUUAUCUUCCAUUCUGUGCAAUUUUAAGUCAAAUUCAUGCAUCUCUCAAUGCUCGGUUCAGUCAAGGAUGUAGCCCUAACCGGCAUACCUUAGCAAUACCUAAAAGACUUGGUUCAGUCAAUGAUGUAGCCCUAACUGGCAUAUCCUACCGAUGCCUAGAAAGCUCGGUUCGGUCAAGGAUGGAACCCUAACCGGCAUACCCUACCGAUACCUAUAAGACUUGGUUCGGUCAAGGAUAUAGCCCUAAUAGGCAUACCCUACCGAUACCUACAAGACUCAGUUCAGUUAAGGAUGUAGUUCUAACCGACAUACCCUGUUGACACCAUAAAGACUUGGUGCGGUCAAGGACACAACCUUAACUGGCAUACCCAACCGACACCUUGAAGUCUCGGUUCGGCCAAAGACGUAGCCCUAACUGGCAUACCCUGUCGAAACCAUAAAACAGUCACAAACAAACUUAGUCGAUAUUGUUGGGACCACUAUUUAUAGCUCGUGAGGGUCUCAAGAGACGAAUUGUCACAACCAUCCUAACCAUUAGAUCUCCUCGAUCCAACGGUCUUCGUCGAUUGACGCCUAAAAACUCUCAUUAAUGCAUGUCACAUCAUCCAUUAACGUGUCGUCAGACAUCACGUCAAGCCUCGAGAAGCCCAAUCGUCACGUCGUACCUUGGGAAGCUUGAUCGCCACAUAAUUCUCGACUCUUCGGAUUAAUCAUCUUCGAUCUUGGGGGCAAGUGUAUCGGUGAGGGUCGUACGACUGACCACAUGUCUCGAUCCUCAUCAUCAGGCCGACCGAGGAUAAGGUCCCCAUCAAUGGGCUGACCGACAACUCAAAUCCAAUUACACUUAAGUAGAGCCAGUGAAGUUAAUCCACGAUUAAGAGCUAGGUAAUGUAUUCCUAAACAUGGUCAAACUCUCUAAUCUGACCCAAUAAGAAAAAACCAUUAAAAUAAUAUCGAGCGUCAGAGUGUCUUUUACUGGUACGUCAUCGUAUACAAUGCUCUGACAACCAAGCGCUGAAUACCUUUACUGACUUGAGCAUCAAAGUCUCUUUUACAGGUACCAUCCGAGUCUGGACUACGAGAAAACCAAGAGGUAAGACGAGUGAGAAGGAGUAAGGAGUCUGUAAGGAGGAAAGUUGAAGUGUAAUCCGAGCGACCAACUAAGAGAGAGAAAAGUGAUCUCAAUAGUUCUUUAGACCUCAAUCUUAUUCAAAAACAAAAAUUAUUUUCUAUUGUUUCAAAAAUAUUUAUUCUUCAUCGCGUGCACUAAAGUACUAAUUUUUUCAGCUGGAAGUGUAAAAUAAAAAUUAAAACACGCUUAAAAAAAACUAUUUCUUACAGUUUAAAGUUUGUUUUAAAAACUCAAAAUUGUGUAAAUAAUAACUAAGCUCACUCAUAUUGUAUAGUUUUUAAAAAUUUUAACACACAAAAAUUGUCUUAAAAAGGAAUGUUAUAUUGUUAAAUGCUUUCAAAAUUUAAAUAAAACACUCCAUUCAAAAAAAUAUUUUUGACUGAAAUGAUUUUUUUUCUUUUAAAAUAAUAACUAAAACUUAAAAUAUAUAAUAAAGGAUUAUAAAUAAGUUAAAUUAAGCCCGUUUGUUUCCUUUAUUUUACUGUUUUGUUGUCCAAGUUUGGUCAAUUUAUAAGUGAAAAUAUUUAAACUUAAAAAUAAUGAUUUUAAAUAAAAAAAAAUUAAGAAAGUAAGAUUUAUUAAAAUAAACUGGGAAUUACUUAUUUAUCAAAUCCAUACAAAAGUAUUUAUUUUACUAACACUUUACCAAAUAUGUUAUCAAUUUCUCAAUGUAAUUCAAAAGACUGGUGCAUUUACAAAUACCAAAGUUAUCAUUAAACAUGUUAAUAAGUACUAUUGAAGAAACCAAUAUACUUAUAAGUUAACUUUGAUCGAAUUAAGUAUUGACUAAUGGAAAUAAAAGUAACAUACUUCUAUUAGAGAAUCAGGGUUUGCCCGGGAAAUAGGAAUGAAAUAGAGGAAAUAAAAAUAAAUGAGAUUCAAAAAAGAUAAAAGAAGAAGAUUAAAUAAUAAAUAAAAUGAAAAUAAAAUAGUUUACCAGACAGAAAUGCAUUAUAAAUAGACUGAAAACAAAAAUAAAGAAAAUAAAUGGAAAAAGCAUUUAAUUUUAAAAACAUUAUUAGUAUUAUUGUUUCUUCAUUUGAUUAUUAUAAUUUUUUGCUAUUGAUAUUUAUUUUGUUACUUUUUUAAGGAAAUUUAUUGUUAUUGUUAAUAUUACAUACAUAUUAGUCAAAAUUGAGAGAUUAAUUACGAUGAUAAUACUACAAGAAAAAAGUUUUUUCCAUAGGUUUUAAAAAAAUUAAAGCAUUUUUGGAAGAUUUUGAAUUUUAAGUUUACGGAAUAAGUAUUCUAUAAUAUCAUUUAAAUUAUUUCAGAAACAUUAUUUUACAAUAAAAAUAUUGUAAAAUAGUUAACAAUAAUUAAAAACCAAUAAUAAAUAAUACAUUUAGGAUGUUAUUUGAUUUUUUUAAAAUAUAUUUUUUAAUAAUUUUAAUAAACGCGUAGUUCAUAAAUUUGUUAGUGUAUUAUACAUUUCACUUGAAAGAAUAUUGAAAAUAUUAUAAUGCAGGAAUUGAUUGCCCUAGUUUUGGCGCACUACGUGGCUGGAAUUUUUGUCAUUUUGUGUAAGAAAACUGUGAGGAAAGUAGAUUUGUAAAAUGACGAAUUUAACCUUAUGUUUUAACUUUUCACUGGGUUGAAAAAACAAAUCUCAACCUGCAUAUCUUAAUUUUAUAACUUCUUCAAAUUUAGUCUUCAUCAUUCAUUAAAACCAGGAGCUCUUUGUAUAUUUUCAUCAACUUUAUUUUUUAUCUGUUUUUCCCAAAUCAAAUAACUAAACAUUCUUUCUUUUUUGUUUUACUUAUCUUUUAUCAUACCUUUUCUCUUUUAUUUCCCUUCACUAAACCAAACAAGUAAUGGUGGCAUCACAAACAUGUUAUAUUUUAUUAAUAUUAAAAUUAGUAUAAUUCAAAUAUAUAUGUUUUGUUUGAAUUAUAUGUUAAUUGAAUGGUGAAAAGUAAAUGAGUCAUUUUUUUUAAAAAUAGAAAUUAAAAUCAUUUUGAAUCAAAGAAAAAUGUAAAAAAAUGAAAUGUAGUAUUUAUUAUCAAUGAUUUAUUUAAUUUUAUUAAUUAUUUUAAUAAGUCAUUUUACUAAAAAUAUAAAUAUUAACAAAAUUAACAAUAUAGUAGACCAUGUCUUUGUUUAUGUUAAAACAUAAUUAAUUAUAAAUAUACGUAAAUGUUAAUAAAAAUAGAUUUUUUAAAACAUAAUGAAUUAUAAAAUAUAUGCAAAUAUUAAUAAAAUACUUUUACAUGAUUAAUUUUAUCAUAAACAGUUUACAAUGAUUAUGUAUCAAAUGAUCAUUCCACUAAAAAAGAAAAAGUCCUUUAAAUAAUAUCAUUGUUGAUUUAGAAAGAAAAAGUCUUUCCUCUGACAAAUCCUAUAUAAAAAUCAUAACCAUUCUUUGAAAAUUAUAGAGAAAAAUAUAAACGAGAACUAAGUUUUUCUCACAAGUCAAAGCUUUGUGAAAAUUGCCGGUCAUAGUCCUUUAGUGUGGCUCAUAUAAUUAAACUUCCAAUGGCAAAAACAAAAUUGAUAAAAUAAAUCAAGCAUAAACAUGUGAGUGCGUCAAACAUUUGAAUACUCCUAUUAUAUUUUAUAGUUAAAGUGGGGUGGAUUGAGGAGAGAGAGUGUGCGGAAGGUACAAGUUAGGAUGAAACCAUAAGUUCAAAAUUAUUUAUUGGAACACCAGGAGCCAUUCGAAAGGGCAAUUGGUCCAACGUAAAAACAGUAACUUACAAACCAAACAUGAGUUUCUCACAAACAGUUUUCUCUCGGGUACAGAUGAAGCAACAGAUAAAAAAUUAAAGGGGAGCCGAAGCCCCCAUAAAAAGAGUACAUAGAACAUUCAGAAACUGUGAUAAGGUAAUGUAUCGACACAAUUUCCAUCAAACAUGGGCACUUCUUAUCAAGGUAAAAUAAUACCAUGAAUUUGCUUAUUGUAAAGUAGUUUGGCUGCCAAGAAAUAAGCUAGUCGACCUCACUUUGUCCACCAAUGGAGGAAGUCUUUGCGCCUACUGAUCUUUUUCUGCAGCUGGAGGAGUCCAUACAACAAAGCCUCAGCAGUUGGAGGACAGCCUGGAAUAUAUAUGUCAACGGGAACAAUCCUGUCACAUCCUCGAACCACGGAGUAAGAGUAGUGGUAGUAACCUCCGCCGUUAGCACAACUUCCCAUUGAAAUGACCCAUCUAGGUUCAGGCAUCUGGUCAUAAACCCUGCAAAAAAUUUCGGCGUUACAUAAUGUUCAAAAACAGAACUUGCGUGGGGAGACAUUGGGGAAAACUUAUCCAGAGUUUACUUGAGCAAAUGAAAACAACUUGUAACUCCCAUAAACUUCUUUUUUAAGCUUAUACCAAGCAGUUAUGAAAAAUAUGACAUAAGUUCUCAUGUAGUGUUUGAAACAGGAAGUCUUGAUCCUUUUCAUUCAUGGAGGAAAUGUUUCACGAUUCUUACUUUCAUUGUCUGAUCAGGAUUGCAAUCAUCUCAUGCAGACAGACUCCCAAAUACACUCAUCCUGGUCAGAAGAUGUGUUAGUAACUGGAAAAUUAGCAUCUCUUGCGUUUCAAUUACUUAAAAUAUAUUGGCUGCAAGAGACUCUGGCCCAAGUGAUGCCUAUUUUGGAAGUGGCUAUUUCGGCUCUAGCUUAGGCUUCUAGUUCCUAAAAAAAUUCCCAGCUUUGGAAAAACAAAAAAAAAAUCCUCGUUGAUAAAAGCUUAUAGAAUUAGUGUUCAAUUAAGCUGCUUGGGGAAACUCAUCAUGACAUACUAAUAGAUAAUGACAAGCAACCAAGAAUAUGUAUUAUAACAUAGUAUAAAGGUUAUCAAGUGAAACUGGCAUACUCUAGUACACCUUUUCCAAAACAACUAAAGCAACUUAAAACCAUUUUUAUACUUUAUAGUAACAUGCCAUGACUCGUCCUGUUCACACCUCUCACUCAAUGCAAGACAACCAUUAUCCCCAUCAACUCCACUAGUCUAACUCGGCUAGAUUCCAGCCUUAGAAAUAAACUAAGGUUGACCAUCUACUGAACAGGUCUAGCUCAGCUAGAUUCCAACCUUAGAAUAAACUAAGGUUGACCAUCGACUGAACGAGUCUAGCUUGGUUAGAUUCCAUCCUUAGAAAUAAACUAAGGUUGACCAUUGACUGAACGGGUCUACCUCGGCUAGAUUCCAGUCUUAGAAAUAAACUAAAGUUGACCAUCGACUGAACGGGUCUAGCUCAGCUAGAUUCCAGUCUUAGAAAUAAACUAAGGUUGACCAUCGAUUGAACAGGUCUGGCUCAGCUAGAUUCCAACUUAGAAAUAAACAAAGGUUGAUCAUCGAUUGAAUGGGUCUAACUCAAUUAGAUUCCAUCCUUAGAAAUAAACUAAGAUUGAUCAUCGACUGAACGGGUCUAGCUCAGCAAGAUUCCAGCCUUAAAAAUAAACUAAGAUUGACCAUCGACUGAACUGGUCAAGCUCGGCUAGAUUCCAACCUUAGAAGUAAACUAAGGCUGACCACAAACUGAGUAAAUCGAUUAAAACUCGACCAUGGAAGCAACGAAACAAUGAACGUCAAGCAACUAAAUGAUCAAAAUGAACUACGCGAAAGCUAAAGGCUGAUUUAUCAAGGUACUAAUCUUUCCCUAUAUUUUUAGGCAUCAAAUUUCAAUAUUUUCACGUGCCUAAAAGGAACUUAACAUUUUUUUUAGUGUUGUAUCUGCCAAAAUCUAAUGUUUUCGUACACAACCAUAAACAAAUUAUGCACAACUUACAUCGUGAUUUAUUUCUUGGUUUUUUGGUGUAUAAACCUCUUCGCCUUGUUUAUUCGGCUUGCGGCUGGGAGGCUGUCGUUAUCUCCUAUUAAAAGGGAAUAUAAUUAACUUACAUCGUGAUUUAUUUUUGAGUUUUUCUUAGGAUAAACAUCUUCGCCUACUUGGCUGGGGGCUGUGUACUGAUAUCUCCAAUUAAAAGGAAAUAUAAUUUAUCUAAAGAGUUUCUUAUAGGGCCUAUUGAAUAAAAUUUCCUAGAAUCUUAGCAAAAAUAAAGGAAUAUCUUUUUGUGGUACUUGAAAUAAGGUUGAGGAGAAUUUUAAGGCUUAAAUAAUAUUAGUUAAGAUUUAGAAGAUAAGAGAUAACACUGUAUUUUUUUGUGGUACUUGAAAUCAGUUGAAGAGGCUUAAAUAAUAUUAGUUAAGCAUUAAAUAAUAUUAGUUAAGGAUUAAAUUAUAUUACUUGAAAUUUAGAAGAUAAUUGAUAACUAACCAGGACUUAUAAAUAAGUCUGUCAUGAUGAUGAUGAACAAUAGAACUCAACUUGUAUGCUAUGAUUUGAGGUCAUUUAAACUUUGGACCAUAACACAUGGCAUGACUCAGACUGUUCACACCUCUCACCCAAUGCAAGACAACCAUUAUCCCCACAAGAACCUCUUUUGACAAGCAAUAUCGUUCAAUCAAAGUGAUUUCUAUAACAACAUUUAAUCACGACGAGAAGAGUCUAUUAGCCACGACCUAUUAAUUAGGUGUAUGUGAGGAAGAAAGGCAAGGGUAGCAAGGAAUUAGAAGCAAGUGAAAGCAAUGGGGCAAAUAAAUGUAAAUGGGAAAUCACUCUGGGGAUAUGGAUUAUAAGUUUGCAACAACCAAUAACCUGCGCACAUGCCAGGUGAAGGCAGGAAUCAAGUGAGGAUUGGGAAGGUAGAAAGCAAGUCCCUUAAAGAGCCUACAGACUACAGCUAGUGUAUCCUGGUACCAGAUUUCUAACACUAAGCUAAAAAAAACUAAGGUUACAACACCAAAACAAGAGUCAAUUAAAACAGACAAAACACAUCAUCAUUGGCCAGAUUAAAUCUCCCCGAAAUCCAAUUUAGUCACAGAAAUCCUAAAAUAAAGGACUUCUUGAAAACCGAACACAAAUUAUCUUUAAAACUCUCCAACAUAUAUAUAACAGCAUUCAAACAAAGACGCGAAAGCAUAGACACCAUAUCAAGUCAAAUUGAAUACUCAACCAUGCAAUAUGUCAGACACAAAGCAAAUCAGUGCAUCAGGCAAGGCAUAUGAUAUGAUUUCUAAUCUAGUGGGGAGAGCAACAAAGUGGAAAAUAGAUUAGGGGAAGUAAAAACCCUAGAAAAAGGGAUAGAGGACUUACUUUCGAAGAGCGGGAGCCAUCUUGUUGGUGAGAGUGCCUGCGACGAUCAUGCAGUCAGACUGGCGAGGGCUGGGCCUGAAAAUGAUGCCGAAGCGAUCGAGAUCAUAGCGGGCGGCGCCGGUGUGCAUCAUUUCGACGGCGCAGCAGGCAAGGCCGAAGGUCAUGGGCCAGAUGGAGCCGCGGCGGGCCCAGUUCAUGAGAUCGUCGACCUUGGAGAUGACGAACUCCGCCGACUUGGAGACGCCGACGGGAGAGGAAGCGGAGGGAGGCGGUGGCGGAGCAUAUGGCGUGGGCGUGGGUGUGGAUGUGGAUGCGUUGAGAGUUGGGAGCGUUGUGUGGAGGGAGAGUGCCCGUUGAUGGGAGUGCAGUUGAUGGAAGCGUGAGGAGGCUCGAGUGAGAAGAGCCAUAGUGAUGCUUUGUAUGUGUGUUGCUGUGACCGAAUGAAUCGCACCCAGGUUUCUUUGAGGACUCUCUGUUUACGCCCCCACCCAAACCUUUUUCUAUUUUUCGGAAAAUGGAAGAGACAUCGUUGACGCAACUCCCUACCAAGCUACGUGGCCCCAUUUCAGCUUCAUUCCUAAUUUUUUCCAAAUUACUAUUAUUUAAUUUGUUAUUAAAUAACCAUUCAAAUUCACUACUUUAAUCAUUUUACUUCUUACUACUUCCUUCAUACAAAUCAUGUGUGAUUUAUUUGGUUACUUGUAUUUUUUAUACUAAUUUUUAUGCUUAAUAUUUAAUUAUCCGUAUUUCUAUCUCAUUUUUUAUAUAAUUUUAAUUAUUUAAAUUGUUUAGGUUUCCAACACUUCAAUACUAUGAGAUUAAAAAAAAAAACUUUAUAAUCAUAAAAUAAUAAUUACUUAAAGAGACUUGCUACAAAGUAUAAUUUGGUAAGUAUCUAUAAUAUUUUAAAUGUAAUGAUAAAUUAGCAUCGACUAAAUCGAUUCUACUUAAAAAAUUUUAAAAAUCGAUGACAAUAAAUUAGCAUUAAUAAUGUUAGAGUCGUGAUGCAAAUUCGACAUUAUUGAUUAAUUAACGUCGGUCUUUGUUAGUUAGCAUCGACUAGUUGAUGCUAAAAAACUAUUUUAUUAUAGUGAUAAUAUCUAUAAUUUAUUUGGUUUUAGAUGUUUAUAAGGUGGUGUUGGACGAAACUAGGUUGGGAAAAGUAUGAGUUUAGUAUUAUAAAAGAAUAUUGACUAUAUUAGAAAAGGAUUGAAACAAUCUUAAUUGAGUAUUAGAGUAAUAACUUGUAAUGUCAUGCUUCAAGUAUGUGUAAGUUUGAAUUCUUAAAUAAUUCUUAGGCUAGUUUUGAUAACAUAGUAUAGGAGAAGUAAUGACAAAAUUCUAUUAAAAAAAUUUGGGCGAAUUUCUUGAUUUUUGGACGAGAGAUGAAAGUCUUUUGUAUGAUUGUAUGGUAAGAUGGAAAAUUGUACGUUGGUUUUUCAAAAAAAGAAAAAGAAAUAAUAGGAAUGCUAUAUUAAUUUGGGCAAAAAUGGGAUGGGAAAGUCACAAAAUGUUUAUUGUUUCUUCUAAAAGCAAAAAAAGAUAUAUGUAUGAAAUUUUUUUCCUCAUUAAAUAAGUUAAAAAACACUAGAAAGACAACAUAAAAAGGAAGGAUGAGAUCGGUUCAAUAUUAUGCAAGGACUAAAAUUCUAUAAAUAGAGAAAAUUUAACAUUUUUUUUCCGAAAUUCAUACACUCAUGCAUUGAAUCAAAACAAGUUGAGUUACAAAUUUUACCUAAUAUUUUAUUUACACUACCUUAGCAAUAAGCUAUCCAUGUAGUAAAGGGGAUGUAGGACUUAUUCCCUCCUCUGAAGAAAUCAUAUAAGGGUUUGAACGUCACUCCUUCCUUAUUGUACUCUAAAACUAGUUAACUCAUGUUCAUGUUCAUACAAUAUUUAUUACAUGAUAUAUUUUCUACUAUAUGUUUGUAAAAUUUACAUUCUUUGUAUUGACUUCUAGUUCCGUCUUUUCCAAUAUUUUUUUUCCUAAAAGUAAAUACCAUUUCCACAUUUUCAUCAUACACUUAAAAUUUAUAUAGGAGAAAAAUAUAGAUAAUCUUUUGGUGGGUAUGUAUUUUGUGUGUUUUUUUUUUCUUUUUUAAGAAAUGGUAAUCAUAUAUUUGAUAAUUGUCUUCACUCGUCUUUAUUUUAAUGUUUAAGUGAGUUAAAAGCUCACGUUAUAUAUAAAUGAGUAAUAAGUAAUAUAUAUAAUAAAAAAAGAAUCGCAAACACAAGGUUUUGGAUUAAGUGUUUAAGUGUGAGUUCAAAUCUCACAUUACUUAAAAGUUAUAAUUUGAACAUUGUCUACUUAGUGUUUUUGGCUUUAAAAUUCCCAUUGAAUGGUAUUAAAGUCUUUUGCUUACUAUUGCCUUAAAGUUUAGAGUUGAGUAUGAUGUUAUAUUUAUGUGGUUGAUUCAUGACUUAUUGAUUAAUAUUUUCUUAAUGUGUCUUUUCUUAACUUUUUCGUCAAGUGGUGUCAAAGUUUUAAUCUCAUUAUUGUCCUAAGAUUUUAUAUUGAGAGUAAUAUCAUGUUAUUUCAUGUUGUUGAUUCAUAGCCAUUAGCGCAUAUUUCCUAAUUAUGUUUCCUUUUGUAUUAUUAAAUAUCUUCAUCUAUCACAAGCAUAAGUACAAAAUGUCUUUGAUAAUUAACUUUAUUUCUAUUGUCCUCUUGUAUAUACAAGUUUUGACCAUACUUGUUGUGUUCAUGUCUUAAUGACAAGGAAAAUGAGUGAUUCAAAUUACAUGUUUAAUACAUUCAUCUAUUAUAAAUGUAGAGUUAUAUAGGUGAAUUCAACAUCAUUCAUAUUCUAUAGUAAAAUGGGAAAGUUACCCAUUAUGUUUAAUAUUCUUUCUAGCCUCUUAGUUGGUAAAUGAUAUAUGAUUAACUUUAACAUAGGGUAUGCUUUGUUAGUACAAAAGCUAUUGCUAACUUUUUUGUUCAGAUAUUGCUUGAUCUAACCCAAAUGCCACCUAAUAUCAUAAAAUCAUCACUUUAAUUAUUAAUGGGAAUGUAUUUUGCUUUAAAUUUUUUUCUGCAUGAUGAUAACCGGGUAAAAAUUAUUGAGAAAAGAUUAAUCUUUAGAGAACCCGCGACAAAUUCAAUGGUGGAAGAACUUGGGAUCAACGACUUUUUAUUUGUUGUUUUGAUCUCUUUUAUAUUUUCCUGCACAAUUAUCUCAAACCUUUUUUUUAUCAUUAUUGUUAUUUAUAACUUUUAUUGCUUGCAGAUAGAUUUAAAACAAUGAUUUGUUAAUUUAACUAUUGGAUUCGUUGGGAAAUGAUUUGAGGUCCUUUGACCACAAUUAUACUAUCAUAUCUCUAGACAAAUCUAUGUUAAAAUCAUUAUAAUUUGACCGCAAAACGACAGUUAUCAAACGUAAACUAAAUAAUGAUAAAAAAAAAUUAAUAUUGGUUAUAAUGAGUUUGAGACGUUAAAAUGAAUUCAAACUCAUGAUUUAACUUGACUCAUAUUAUAGGUUCAAAUUGAGUUAGAUUGAAAAAAAUAUACAUUUUAGAUGCGAAUUAAGUUGGAUUGGAUGUUAGUUGAUUUGUAAUGCUUUGAUUUUCACUUACUUAGUGUCUUUAUAAUAUUACUUUAUAAUUAUGGGUAAUACUUGAUCACAUAAGUGAAUAUUUAAUUGUGCUACUAUAAAUAAAUUAUUCUAGUCAAUUUAUUUCGUAUUGCAAUAUAUAUAUAUAUAUAUAUAUAUAUAUAUAUAUAUAAUAAGAUAGAAAAAUAAAAUAUACUUCAAUAAAAUAUACUUAACAUACCAAUCUAAAGUAGAUCAAAUCGAAUUAAAAAAAUUUAAGUAAAAAAAAAUAGUUGAAUUGAUUAUUUUUAGUUUGAUGUAUAACUAACUUUUUAUGAUCCAAUUAAAGUCACAUUUAUGUCCAAUCUUAAAUACAUUUUUUAUAAAUAAAACAUUAUUACUUAUAAAUUAUAUUUUUGACAAGAAAGCAAGAGAUAACAAUGUCAAAUUAUCAAAAUUAUACUUAAUGCAUAAAUAAAUUGAACUUAUUACAAAAAUGGAUGAACGGCAGUCAAAAUUGUACAUAAAUUUAUCACUAAUGUAUAAAAUAUUUUUUAGAUUACGACUGGUUUAAUAACCAUUGAUCCAUUCUUUAUAUCUUCUUAUUAAAUUAUUUCCUAACAGAUUUUAAAUUAUUUCCUAACAGAUUAGUAGUUUUUUAUUUAUUUGAAAUAUUAUCUAAAGAAACGUUCUUUCAAUUUUUUAUAUUUAUUUUCAUUUUAUCCUUAGAAUAUUACGUUUACAUAGAAUUUUUAUUUUAAAUUUUUUAUAAAAAAUUUCAUGUCAAACAUCACUAUGUAAUUUGACAUAUCACUUACACCCCACCUCAAGUAACAACAAUCAUUUGCCAAACAUGAAAAAAAUAUUAUUAAAAAAAAUAAAAAAUAUGAAAAAAUAAACCAAAAUUCAUAUAUCAACAAGAAUACAAUAAUGGAAAUACUAGAAAAUAAGUUUAUUUUUUUUUAUAUUAUUUUGAUAUUUUAAAAAUACUUUUAAUUUAAUCUUUCAUUUCAACUGUUAUAUUAUUUAAAAUGUUUGUUUAGUAUUGUUUGUUGUUAAUAGAUGGUAUAUAUAUUUUUAACAUAUCAUGAUACCAAACCCCACAAGUAUCUAUAACCAUCGAAUUUCAUAAAUAUUCUUAUAUCGAGAUAAUUAAAUUAUUUUUUAAAUUUAAAUAUUUAUGUUAAUAAGAUGUUUUUAAUUAACUAAUUUUCCCAUUCUGAUUCAUUGAAACUUAAGUGGUUAAUGAGAGGUUGUUGGAUUUUUUAUUUAUUUUGUUUUACUUGAUAUAGUUUACUUGUUAGAUUAUUUUUUACUUAAGUUUUGGAGAAAUAAACUUUAUUUAAAAUUAUGUUAUUGAAAUUAAAUAAACUUAUUUAUAUUCAAAUUUUCGUCUUGGACUUAUUAUAUAUAUAUAUAUAUUCCAAUAGCCAUAAUAAAUAUUGAUGGUAGUUUUAAAGUGGGCACCCGUACAUGUUUGCUUAUGGGUAAUGAAUAAAUCGGCUAAAGUAGGAAAAUGGAAGGAAAAUUUUAAAUUUUAUUAUUGAUUUGAGUAAAAUAUUUUUUUACUAAAUUGGGUUAAGUUGUGUAUGAUGAAAAACGAUUUUAAUUAAAAAUUUGUAACAAAAUAAAUUUAUUGAUAUUAUAUAUGAUUUUUUGACGAAUUUUGUUAAAAUUAUAUAACAUCAAAAUAUAUUAAUUAAUUAAUAUUAUGUAUGAGUGACACAAUUUUAAUGUAUUAAUGUAAUGGAAUAGAACUUCAAUAAAGAAAAGACCAUCAAAAAGUGGUAAAAUAUUUUAGAAACUAAGUGCAUACAUAUAAAUGUAGAUGUAACUACCUUGAAGUAAAAAUAAAUAAAAUAAUAAUCAAAAUAAAUUUAUAAUAAUAAUAUUAACAAUAUUAAUUUAAUUUUAAUUAUAUCUUUAUUUUAUGAUUUUUUUUAUAUUUUUAAAUAUAUUGAUAAUUUUAAAUAAUUUGUUGUUUUUUAGUUGAGUUGACAAAAUUAUACGAGAAUACUUCUUUAAUCAAAUGUUAUAAUAUAUCAAAUGUUAUAAUAUGAUUUUUUUUCUACUUGAUUAUUAUAAUUUAACUUUUUUUCCCAUCAUAUUCUAUUAUAAAAUUUUAUAUUUAAUAUUAAUUAUUUAUUGAACUUUUAUAUCAAUUUUAGUUUCAGAUUAUUUUAUAGUUUCACAAAAUUUACAAUUACUUAAACAUUUUACAACUAAUUCUAUUUUAAUUUUAUUAACUUUAUUAAAAAUCAUUUUUAUCCUGUAAUUUUUGUUCCAAUUGAGUCAGGAAUAAUAUUUUAAUUAUAUAUCAAGUUUCAUGUACAAAUUAUAUUUUUUUUCAAUUGAGUCAGGAAUAAUAUUUUAGUUAUAUGUCAAGUUUCAUAUACAAAUAAAUAAUUAUAUUUUAUUUUAAAUUGAUUUUAACGAGAAAGAUAAAAUUGUAAAAUAAAUAACAAUCAUACUCUAGUAAAUUUUUAUAAAUUUUUCUUUAUUUCUUUUUAUUUUCACUCUCUCACUUAAUUCAAACAAGUCUUAUUUUUCAUUUUUCUCCUUAAAUUUAUUUUUUGCUCUUCCACAAUAUAAAUAAAUCAUAAAGUAAAUUAAACAGACAAAAUGAAUAGAAAAGACAUGAAAGAUUAAAGUAAUAAUAAUAUUUACAACGUAGUUUCUUUUAGUUACGAGGUUGAAUGCAACCCAGAAUAUUUUUAUUUAUAACUCCUGGUAGAAGGUUAAAUGACAUGUCAUCUAAACAUUGAACAUUUUUUUAUACAUAUUUUAGUCUCUAUAUAAUAUAUUUUCAAUUAACCUUAUAAUAUAUCUAUAUUUUGAUAAAAUAUAUUAACAUAUCUAAUUUAUAUUUAGAAGAUUAUAAUUUUAUCCAUUAAUGUACUAACAUUAUUAGUGUCACAGAUGUGCGAAAAGAAGAUUAAACAAAAACGAAUAAGGCCCUAAAAGGUCCCUUCCUUUUGAGUAAGCCCAGCCCAAUUACCAUGCUUCAAAGUCUACAAAAAGUUCUUUCACUUUUCAACCACGUGCGGGGUACAAAGGUGCGUUGACUUAAAACAUGGUUUUUGUUUCAGGGUAACAGUUUUUUAUUACGUUUCCUUCGUUGGAAGUGAUUAAAUUAAACUCUUCUCUCCGCAAACAUCUUCUUCAUUCUUCUUUAUCAUCUCCCAGUUCAAAAACUAUCUACGAUCAUAUGAACCCUAAAUCCUAAAUGCGUGAAAAAACGAAACAGAGAUUCUAAAAGAAAAGGAAUUAAACAAGAAACAAUGCAAUGAAGCUAGAGGGAAAAUUGGAAGAAAUAUUAUGAACACUUGGCGUCUAAGUUGUGUACGUGGUUUCCAGGAAGCAGUAGUGGCAUUGGGAUUGAGUUUCAAUAAAUGCUCACAACUCGCAAUAAGUAAAUGGCUAGCGUAUUGAAAUCUGCAACUGCAUCUGCUUGCUCUGAGAUCGGCACCAUGCUCUUGGAAUUCUCGAUAGUUAUUACUCACUUUUCUCUCACUCUACAAUGGACCAUUCACUCCUAUAUAUAUUAUUUGAUCAAAAUUUUCAAUGAUGUUUUUACAAGAUUUUAGAUAUUAUAAUGCAGACAAAUCCCAUGCAACAGAGUACACGCUCGUUUCCUUCAAUUAGUGUCUUUUCCCUUUGCUACUACUCUCUUUGCACUGGAAAUGCUUGAAGCUGUGUAUUGAUACGAUGGUUGUGCUUCCUAAGCCAAAUAAAUCACACAUGCCAUUCUGCCAUGAACACAGUGCUGCUAGAGCUGGUCCACAUACAUUAUCUUCCUUUCCAUUUUAUAGUAAUAGUACAUUAAUUACUCUCUUCAUUUAAUGUUAUUUCAUUUUUUAAAAUGUUUCUAAAACUUCUUACACAUAAAUAAAGAAUGUGUAAUAAGAGUGAAUGAUCAAAUUAAUAAAUCAAGAUAAGCUUCAAUACAUGUUUUUUACUUGUUAUAAUAUGAGUUAAUUUGAGUUUAAUUAUGUAAAUAUUGUUUUUUUUCCUUCUAAUAUUGAUUUUUUUUAUCUCUAAACUUUGACCCUUAAUUUUGUUUCAUUUUAAUAAAUUUUUUUCGGUUAAAAAACUAUUCAUUUUAACGCUUUAGUUCAUUUGAUUAUUUUUUUAUUUUGUUCAAACGAUAUAUUACAAUAAGAAAGUAUAAUCUCAUUUUCCUCAAGUUAACACAUUUUUCAAUUUUUUAUAAUUAUUUAAUAUUUAUCCAAUUAUUGUUUGGUAAUGUGAUUUGACAUUUAUGCAAGUAUAUUUUUUUUAUUGAUAUUUAAUAUUGGAAAAAAGAAAAUAUGUAUCUUUUUGCUAUUUUUUUUUAAAAAUAUUUAAUUAAUAUUUUGAACUGUUGGAGAUCUCACAUCGACUAGAGAUUAGAACAUUUUAUUGUAUAUAAGUGGGUGCAAACCUCAACCUCAUGAGCCGAUUUUAUGGGGUUGAAUUAAGCUUAAAGUCCACUUAGUAAUAUGAACAAUGAGAGGGCAUGUAUGUGAUGUGGAUACAAAUGUAUUCAUUAANNNNNNNNNNNNNNNNNNNNNNNNNNNNNNNNNNNNNNNNNNNNNNNNNNNNNNNNNNNNNNNNNNNNNNNNNNNNNNNNNNNNNNNNNNNNNNNNNNNNNNNNNNNNNNNNNNNNNNNNNNNNNNNNNNNNNNNNNNNNNNNNNNNNNNNNNNNNNNNNNNNNNNNNNNNNNNNNNNNNNNNNNNNNNNNNNNNNNNNNNNNNNNNNNNNNNNNNNNNNNNNNNNNNNNNNNNNNNNNNNNNNNNNNNNNNNNNNNNNNNNNNNNNNNNNNNNNNNNNNNNNNNNNNNNNNNNNNNNNNNNNNNNNNNNNNNNNNNNNNNNNNNNNNNNNNNNNNNNNNNNNNNNNNNNNNNNNNNNNNNNNNNNNNNNNNNNNNNNNNNNNNNNNNNNNNNNNNNNNNNNNNNNNNNNNNNNNNNNNNNNNNNNNNNNNNNNNNNNNNNNNNNNNNNNNNNNNNNNNNNNNNNNNNNNNNNNNNNNNNNNNNNNNNNNNNNNNNNNNNNNNNNNNNNNNNNNNNNNNNNNNNNNNNNNNNNNNNNNNNNNNNNNNNNNNNNNNNNNNNNNNNNNNNNNNNNNNNNNNNNNNNNACACACACACACACACACACACACAUAUAUAUAUAUAUAUAUAUAUAUAUAUAUAUAUAUAUAUAUAUAUAUAUAUAUAUAUACUAGUUCACACACAUGUAUACACUUAUCUAACAAGAUCUAUCAUCCAAGAAGGGCCACCCAAAAAGGGAACAUGUCAUUCACACAACAUGCCAUGCAUCUCAAUGUUAGUUAUAUAUCUACCCAUAACAUAUAUAAUAAAAUCCCAUCCUUUUACACAUCAAAUCAUCCAUACACAUGUAUAAAAGCAUUAAUAAACAAACAUCAUCAUCUCAUCAUAGUGUCGCUUGAGGGAGCUUCUCUCGCUUGAGAAACCUCAUUGAUGACUUUUUACGACAAAUGCACCAUGUUGUCAGAAGUAAUAAUGUAUCCCUAAUGACGGAUAUCAAACCCACAAGGAACAAUUGAAUAAUCAAGUAAAAUAUUUGCUAAAUAUAAAACAAUAAUAAAAGUGUGUUGAAAACUGUUGUGAUGACGAUGAUGAAUCAUAAAACAAGUCAAAAAAUUUGUUGUUUCAACUUAGAAAAAUAGGGAUUGAGUUUCAUCUUUCUCACUCUUCUGUAUUUUGUAUUUUGAUUGGCAUGGUAACAUUAUGUCCUUUGAUUGAUAUUGAUGCCCGUAUAAAAUUUAUUUAUAUCGAUUCAUCGCAUAUAAAAUUAUUAAGAUGCUUCCUAAAUAUCGAUUCCUCGCAUAUUUAUAAAAACAACCUAAUAUUCAGAUCAAACAUUAAUAGCAAUUAACAUUUCAAGUUUAUUCCUAACACUCAAAUAUGUUAAGUAUUAUUGAUUAGGUCAUAACCCUACAAAUACUUUUCAGUCAAAUUUAAGAUUUGAGAUCAAGAAUUAGAAGCAAAACAAUAAUACCAAUAAUCAAUCAAGAACAAAAUAUUAUAUUCAGAUAUCACCUCAAUACAUAAGAGUUUGAACAAAUUACUCUCAAUCUCAAAUGGUAGAAUUAACCACUGAUGAUGACUAUUGCAUGCAAGGAUGACAUGAAAAGAAGAUUCAGGAUGUUUCUCCUUGACGACUGUCUCCUCUAAUGUUUCUCACACAUCCUAUUCUCCCAAUUGGGUUACAAGUCACUCAAUGGUGUUUUCCUUUCAAUCUUGCACGUCUAGGGUUGUGCCUCAAGCCCCCUAUUUAACCUAAUUUUCGUGGGCUUAAGUGGAUUCUCGCUUAAGCGAGAAUGGGCUUGCUUGAGAGAGCUCCCUCGGUGGUGAGAUGACUCUUUUGUGCGUUUUGGCAGCUUGGUGAGUGUUGAUGCAUUCCAACUUUUCCUUUUUAGCUUUAUAUAUUCUCCUUCUGCCCAAUCAAUUCCAUUCUCCCCUAGAAUUAUGAAAUUAACACUAAAUUUAGGAAUAAAUUGUUCCUAUUCAAAUUAAAAUAAUCAAAUAUGUAAAAAUGUGUAAAUUCAUAAAUUAUGGAUUAUUUUAUACUUAUUUUAGCAAUUAAUACUCAUAAGUGCCCAUAUUUUAAUAUGAAAUAUUACUGAAAUUUGGCAGUUAUCACUCAUCACCAUAAACAAGAUAACACCCAUUUCGUUUCAAUAACACACCUACUACUUGAGCGAUAUGCAACCCAAUAACAACACCCUCCUAAGUUUUUUUUUGUGUUCCAACGAUCGUCUCAAUGCUAAAGUGUUAAGGCCAAUACUUGAGCGACUACCACAUUGUUUGAAGAAAUCCAAUUAGUUAUAGAAGAAAACUUCACCAUCAUAGGACACUUGAGGGCCAAACCAACUUGAGCACUAGUCACAUGCAUCACAUAUCACCACACGUAGUGACAUGUGUCAUGUACUACAAAGUGAGACAUAUACAUUGUCUCACCUCUUGCACAAAUGUUUGGAAACCACACUUGGGCCACCAACCAUAUCAUUUGAGCAUCCUCACCAAUGCUUGACAAUAAGUUUCUAGAGGAGAGAGAAUCUCCUCACCUCUUUCUUACUCAAGCGGCAAGUCAUCGCUUCAGUUAUUAUGCAACACGUCGCUUGAGCGACCAACACAUUAGAUAAGAAAUGUAAGAUGGUUAAUGCACAUUACUUGGGCCUUGCCUAAGCGAUAACACAUCACUCAAGCGAUAUCUGACCAAAAGAAUACCAACGUAGCUCAAACCAAUGUUUUUCCUAAUUUUUCAAAAUAUAGAAGAGUUUUUCUCCCAUUCAUAUGAAUGGGCUAAAAAAUAAAAUAAAUAUAUGCUUACAACCACAAUAAUAACACUAUAUUAUUCUAUAUUGUUAUUUAAUCAUUCAUUCGACACACAUAUACUCUAUUUGUCAAACAACUACCUACAUGCAACAUUGUAUUAUUAUAGUUCCCCUUACCUAAAUUGGUGCAUGCUUUUAUCUAAACAAAUGCUUAAAAAUCAUUUAUAAAAAUCUAAAUGAUCCAACAAACUUUUAAAACUCCACCCUACAUUGAGAACACUUCCUUUUUGACCAUUCAUACAAGAAGAGAAAAUAGUAAAAUAACAACAAAGAUAAAACUACUUAGCAAAACCAAAAUUCAAUUAGUCCAAUCAAAUAUACAUUGCGCCAUCUUUGCAGGACCUCAAUUUGAUAGGAAAUCUACGAGUAUAACAUCUUGUUUAGUCAAUCAAAACAUAUAUUUUUUUUUCAUUAAACUAAAGAUUUUAUAAUGAACUUAAAAAUGAAUGUCUAACUUCUAUUUGUAGACAUAAUUUCUAACUCAUUUUAAAAUAUAAUAUUGAUCUUACAACUAACUUCAGUCUCUAAUAGGUUGAUGAUGUUAAUCUUUUACUUGAUCUCCCUCUUGAUCAAGAUAUUUGUUAAAAAAAGACAACCUAUUUAAGACAACCGUGAAGUGCUUAAAUAAACACCUUUUUGAGACAAUGCUACUUCACUUUAUAGAGAACAUGAAGAAAGAGUGUCAUGAAGUAACACGAUAGAGUUUCAUUAUAAAACAUAAAUAUUAUAUAUUUUGGUUCGCAGUGAGGUUAUUGCAUGCUUAACUACAAUUUUGAAAUGUGAUAUUGAAGUAAAAAAUGCUAUGAAAUGUACGAGUUAAUUGAUAAUUUAAAUAAAAUUAUGACAUAAAAAGAACGGGUCACUAAAUCAUCUAACCCUAAAUACGAAGAUAAUAUGUUGUACAAUUAGAGAACUAAAAAAAUAAAUUUUAAUUACAAAAUUAAAAGAAACAAUACUCCAAUUUUAAAGAUUAAAAACAUAAUCCAGUCUUUAAUAUGCUUUAAAUAAUAAUAUGUUGUUCAAUAAAAUUAUAUAACAAAUAUUAGUUAGGCAAUCAUUUCCAAUACCAUGAAAGGUACUAACAUUAUAUCUAACUUUAAUAACUAUAGAUAACAUUACACAAUUUUGAAAAACUAUAAAAUAAAGAUAUACAAUUGUUGGAUAAAAAAUAUAAUGUUCCCAUUUUUAAAAACUAAAAAAAUAUUUAAUACCAUUACAAAUUAAUAUAAUAUAACACAUUUCUUAUUUCAUGCGGACUGCAUAUAUUUUAACUCUCACAAAUCUUCUAUUUUUAUGAACUUGACAACUUAUUUUCAUAUUAUAACUAAUGUAUAACCUUUUUUAUUAAUAUAAAAAUAAUGACAUUUAAGUUAGUCAAUAAAAUUUUAAUAAAUAAUUAAAUAUGUGAUUGUUAACUGGAUACAAUAUGCAAAAGAAAUUAAGAUCUUCUGCUUUAAUAAACUUCUUAUUUGAAUUUUGGUUUAAUUAAUAAUUUAAUAAUAAACAUUAAAAAAUACAUCCAAAAAAUUAAAUAUUGAAAAGUAUAAAAAUAUAUUUAAUUAGUAUAUUAUUAUUCUAGUAAUAGUUUAUAAAUAUUUCAAUAUAUUUUAAGUUGAUUACAAAUAUUUACAUUGAUUAAAUAAAUUGAAGAAAUACAAAUUAUUCUUUAUUAUUCACAAUAAAAAAUAAUUUUAUUUGACAUAAAAAUAAAAGAAUAUGUAAAUCAUGAAAAUAAAAAAUUGUGUCUACUUGACAUAUUAUAUUUCUUUAGCACUACAAACCUAAAUGUAUUAUAGAUGUGGAUUAUGAGAAAGGCACUUUAAAAUCUUUUAAUAAUUAUUUGACUUAUGUUUUGAUAUUUUUAGAUAUAAUACUAAAAAAUUGUGUUGAAAAACUUUUGGAAAAUGAUGUAUCUUCAAAAUUAAUAUUUUAAAUGUUGCUUUAAGAUAGUUUAUUUUGUUUAAAUAAAAAAAUACUUUUAUAAUAUAUAUAGUUAUUGAAAUAAAGACAAUCCUCUAACAUUUUUGGAAUAUUGCAAAGAUAUACAUUAUGACCAUAUUAUUAAAUUCAUGAAUUAAGUCUAACAUACAGCUACAAAGCAUAUAACAUGAAGCAUCCGUUGGGCUAUUAUUAGAAAUACUGAAACCAUUUUUUAAUUAAAAUACAUUAUUAUUAUUAUUAUUAUUAUUUUAGUGCAUAAAUUAAUUUUAAUCAUAAAAUUGAUCGUAUUUUUCUUAUAGAUUUCCAAAUCAUGAAAAAGAACUCUUAAUUGAGGUUUUAAACUCAUUCUUCUGUAAAAUAUUUUUUAUAAAUUAAAUAUCGAAAAUUGUCAAAAGAGAAUGAGUAAUCAUAAAAGUUAUAACAUCGGUUAAAAAUAAUAUAAACUAAUUUUAAGAUAAAUAUUAUAUUUUUAUAAGAAGAACUUAAUCAAUUUGUCCUCUCAUUUACCUAUAAGAAUUUAACUUAUCUAUAUGAAGAUUAGAAUGUCGCUGGUAGUAAAGAUUAAAUACAAAUAACCAACAGUGGACCAAUUAUCAAACUUUCAACAACAAAUGUGGAAUGAAAAUUAUAAUUAGCUAGAAUUUGUGUUUUCUAUUAUAUAAUAAUGUUGGAACAGGUAAACAUCUACCUAAAUAUUAAGACAAAAUAGUUAGGUUAGUACAUUUAUUCUCAAUCACAACCUUUAUACUCCAAUAAUUUACAUUCAGCUAUUUUUAUUUUUAAAAUUAUCAUUUAAUUUAAGUAUUUUUUAUAUUUCUUUUCAUUCUUACAAAUUUAUAACAUCUUUAUUUAUAAGAUGUUUGUGAAAAUCACAUUUAAUUUAUAAAAUUUGACACGUGACGAAAAACUAAUAAUGAAUUGUAUGUUUAUUUUUGUAACAAAAUUCACUUAAAACAAUUUUUUUUUAAAAUUUAGCUAUAUAUUAUUUUAUAAACAUGCUUAGCAAAUUUUUUCAAACUUUUACUUUUAUAUUUGAAAAUAUCCAUUUAUGAAUAAUUGGAGAUUUUAAUUUGAAAAGAGAAAUAAUUUAAAGGCUGUGAUGAAAGACGGAAAGAGGAAAUUAAAAAUGGAAAAGGGGGUCCGUGUGAGGUGACAGUGGCAAUUUUAAUGAAAAGGAAAUAUGUUAGUUAUUAAUUUUAAAAAAGGGAGGGAGAAAAAAUGUGAAGGAAAAAGUGUCGGCUUGGGAACCAUGGUUAAGCGAAGCAGGGUGUGGGGUUAAGUAAGGGAGUGUUAAUGCGGAGCGCUGGUGUGGCUUGAAUUGAAUUUGGCACGGGGAUGAGCGUCGGUGACUCGUGCGAGACAAGCACAAAAUGGAGAGAGAGAAAUUGACGCAUGCCAGCGCUGAGAACUAACUAUAAAACCAAGAAUCAGGGGAAAGACGGGAAUGGAGUGUGAGUGGUUACACAUUCACAACGCUAUUGAGAGCGAAAUGGCGGAUUCGGUGUCGGUGGACUUCGAAGCCAUUUCUCUUCCACCCGAGGUAACUAACUUUCACUAACACUCACGAACAACCAUUUCAUUUCAUCGCACCCAGUUUAACUCAAUUCGUCUUUUCAUUCUCACUUUUUCUUUAACUCAUUCGCUUCAUUAAUCAACAACCGCGUUCUUCCUUUGCGUUUCAUAAUCUUCUUGCAUUGCUUCACAAACUUUCUGAAUUCUUUACAGGAUUAUACGCUUACUUUAGUUUCUGUUUUUUAAAGCCUUUCGAGAUAGUGAAUGAAGGAAUUUUUUUGGUUUCUUGAUUCCACGGAUUAAAUAAACUGGAUUUUAUUUUUAUUUUUUUUAAUUGUCUUAAUCGCUAUCACCGGUAGGAUUCUGGCAGGUGCAGAUUGAUAUUUUUUUUUAUCCUCUUAACUUGCAGUACCAGACUUCAAAGAUUUGAAUUUUUUGUUGGUUUUUUUAUCCUUUUUUUUCCGUGAACGAACCCCCGACAGACCGGAGUAUUUACACGCUUCUGUUGCCUAUGCUGAAACCUUACAUUCAUAUUUUUUGCCCCCUUUUUCUUGCUGUUAAAACAUGAAGGAGGUGUUUUUAUCAUAUUCUUAUGCGAUUUUAUUGUCUGUUUUAGCUAUUUUUAUGCGCUGUUCCUAAUUAAUGAGCUACUGAGGUGUUUUUGCAGGAACAUGUUGUAAGAACUCGUUAUGGCAGUGUCUCUGUUUCUGUUUAUGGGGACCAGGACAAGCCAGCGCUGAUCACGUAUCCUGAUUUGGCUUUAAAUUGUAAGUAUCAUGGAUUUUACUUUUUCCAUAUGAUGAUUCUAGCUAAUGAGUACUCUUAGGCCAUGAUUAACGCCGUUUUAAUACACUUUAUUACAUGGUUAUAAUUACCAAAGAAACAUCUAUUACAUGAUAUUGUGUUUUUAAAAUAAUAAAUGAUUUAUUUGAUAUUACUGCUUAGUUUAAUUUUUUUUUAAUUUGUGUAGUUGUAGUUAACAUUGUCCUUUAUACGUAUGUGUGUAUAUAUAUAGGGGGUUAAGUUAUGAGUAACUUUGAAAGAGUUACUACUCAUCUCAACCCUUUUUUGUUUUCUUAAUCCAAUUAUUUCAUAUAACUUGAAAUAUCAGAUUAAAGAAAAUAGAAGGUAAUCACGGUCUUCUUAGAUUGAAUUAAUUCGUCUUCGUCUUGCGUAUAAUAUAUACACACACAUAAAUGCUAACUAGUAUCCUAAGGCACUGAUUAAGGAAUUAAAAGUAUUUUUCAUUAAGAUGCAUUAAAGUGCAUUUCUUUAUGAUUCUUUAAUGUGUUCCCACGUGAUUUACAAUAAAUUUUAUCUUUCAAUUUCUUAAUUGGUGUGGUUAUGUAUGUAUCCGCAGAAGUCAAAAUAUUUUUUUAACCAAAAAAAAUAUUCUCAUUUCUAGAUUUGUUUUAAUGAAUAAGUUGACAACGUUGUCUCGUGACAUUCAAGUAGAGAUUCAACGAUGUAGUAUUGAAAUAAUGGUGGUUUUGUGUAAUUAAAUUAUGGGUUAACAAGUUUUCUCUUAAAAGGUUCUAUGAAACCGCAUAAGUGACAGUGGUUUGUGUUCAGUAAGUAAGGGGCCCGUGAUUUACCAAUACAAUGGUUAUAAAAUAAAUAAAAAUAAAGUUGUAUACACAAAAUGUCGUAAUAUAAAGUGAUGUUUUAUGACUUUGUUAACAUUGAGCCUCUAGUUUUUUCCAUAAACACUUCUAGAAGAGAAAAAUAAGAAGAAAAAGAUAAUGAAUUUCUUUAUAGGCUAAAAUUAGCUUAUACACUAGUUAAAAACAAAAAUUUAUAGAAGCUAUAUAAAAGAGUUUUUACAAAUUAACUUAUGCAGUAAACUAAUUUUAAUUUAUACAUAAACUAAUUUAAUUUUCUUAUUUUUUUCUUUUAGAAGUGCUUAUGAAGAAGUUAGUCCAAACAACUGUUUGUUUUGGUUGAAAAACCACACUCUAACCAUUUGCUUUCGUGCAUGUGGUUUCAUCAGAUGUCUCCUGCUUUCAAGGGUUGUUAUUUUGUCCAGAAGCCUGUUCGCUACUGCUUCAUAAUUUCUGCAUCUAUCAUAUUAGUCCACCUGGGCAUGAGGUCUCUAACUUUAUUUCUUGUAACAUUUUUAAAUAUUUUAUUUAUUUAUUUCGCUCCUUAUCAUUUUGUACCUUUUCGUGAAUUAUUGUAGUUGGGAGCUGAUGCCAUUUAUCCAGACGGUCCAAUUCUUUCUGCUGAUGACUUAGCUGAUCAAAUAGCUGAAGUUCUCAAUUAUUUUGGGUAUAUUCCAGCUCACUCAUCAAUUUCUUUCCAUUUAGUUCAUGGUAGAAAGUUUUAGAGAUAGUGGAGUGGAAUCAAAUGGAAAGAUAAAGUAUGAAAUGAAGUAUGAAAUAGAAAAAGUUUCGUUCCCUAUUGUUGAAAAUCUAAAAUUUCAGUAAAACCUUUAUUUUCAUGUAACCAAGUUUAUGGGGUGCUAUAGUGAAUGACGCAUAUUCAGUAUAGAAACUAUGUUGUUCCCUUCGCAAUCUCUUACUCUCAGGAAUUUUUAACUCCUAAACUAGGGUCUUAUUCCCUAGGUCCAUCCUUUUCCUCACCACUCCCCUUAUGUAGCAUCAAAAUGAUAAUGUUAGAUAAAUUUCAAUUUGGCUUCAAUUUGAAAUAUUUGCUUGUUUAUCUUUUAUUUGCAACUGAAACAUCCUUCCGUUGUGCAUUAAAAGUAACGGGUUUAUAACUUGUGCAACUGAUUGCGUCUCCUUGAUCUUGAGAAGGCAAUCUAAUAUCCUCCCCCUCUCUCCUUUGCAGUCAUAGUGCAGUGAUGUGUAUGGGAGUAACUGCUGGGGCUUAUAUUCUUACCUUAUUUGCUGUGAGUCCUCGUAUAUGUCGCACUGUCUCUCUACUUCCUUUUACCAUUCUUAAAUGGCUGAAUGGAUCUGACAGAUAUUUCUUACUUUAACAACAGAUGAAAUAUAGACAUCGUGUUCUUGGUUUGAUACUUGUUUCUCCUUUAUGUAAACCACCAUCUUGGACUGAAUGGUUGUACAAUAAGGUUCUUUUUCUAAACCUAGGAGGCUUUGUCUACUUAUUAUGAGAAUACAUAUCACCUUUUACUAAAGACUAAUAAUUGCAGGUCAUGUCAAAUUUACUCUACUUUUAUGGCAUGUGUGGGGUGGUUAAAGAAAUAUUGCUAAAGCGAUACUUUAGCAAGGUAUGCCUAUUCCUGCAAAAGAAAAAUUUCCCCUUCCUUCAGUAUGUGAGGUUGAGUCAUUAACUUUAUUGGUGAUGAUAGGAGGUUCGAGGCGGUGAUUAUUUGCCAGUGUCAGAUAUAGUUCAAGCAUGCCAAAGGGUUAGCCCAAUUUAUCUUACGCUUCCGUGUAUUGAAUGGGUUAGCUGGCAAUUUAAAACUGAGCACUUGUCUGACUCUCUUUUAAAUAUUUAUUGACAGUCAUUGGAUGAGAGGCAGAGUUUGAAUGUGUGGCGGUUCCUUGAAGCAAUUAAUGGGUAAGAUAACACUUCAAAAUACUGGUUUUCAUUCAACUAGAAAGUGGCAACCUAUUAUAUUAUACAUGUGUAUGUGUUGGGUGGUGGUGGGGGUAGGAGUGGAGUUCCGCUCUGCAUGAUAUCAAUUAUUGCUAAACUUUCGACAACAGUCGGAGACUCAGAAUUUAACUAUACAUGCACUCGUUGUUAAUUUACCCCUUUUCAUGCAUAAAUGCAUUUGGUGAUGCUGUAGUUCCACAUAUUAUGAAACCGCAAUGUGGCCAUAACUUUGUGUUUGCAUUUUGCAGGAGACAUGACAUCAGUGAAGGAUUGAGAAAAUUACAUUGUCGUUCACUAAUUUUUGUCGGGGAUAUGUCUCCUUUUCACUCCGAGGCUCUCCACAUGACAUCUAAGUUGGAUAGACGAUUCAGUGCCUUAGUCGAGGUGCGUAAGACAGUUCAAGUCCAUUUUAUUAUGCGAGAAGAAAUUGUGUACCAAUAAAAAAUGAACUAGAUUUGAUAGCUAUUGUUGGCGGAAGUGCAGGUUCAAGCGUGCGGGUCAAUGGUAACAGAGGAGCAACCUCAUGCCAUGUUAAUACCGUUGGAGUACUUUCUCAUGGGAUAUGGCUUGUACAGACCAUCUAAGUUGAGUGUCAGCCCAAGAAGUCCCCUGAGUCCGACUUGCAUUUCUCCUGAGCUUUACUCCCCAGAGAGCAUGGGUUUGAAAUUGAAACCAAUAAAAACACGAAUUUCCGUGGAGAUGUAGUACGGUAGUAGUCAUAGAUGAAUAAAGCUUGCCACUUCUUUGUAUUUUGAUUGUUGCACAAGUUUAUAGUUCUUUGUUUUGUCAAAAUCUGGUGAAGGGAGAGAUGUCAUUGUAGAUAGAGGGACACGAAGAAAGAAUCAACAGAGGAAAAAAAGGGGAAAGAGUUUUGUUGAAAGCAGCUAUAGUCAUUCUUUUAUUUGUAAUCAUAGACAUAAGUUAGCGAGUUUGAAUCGUUGCUAAGGCUUCAAAAUUGUUAUUUUCGGACAAAUAAAUAAAAAAAAUGAUAGUUUUUGUUACAACUGUAAAGCUAACGCGGUGGGCACACCAUGUAAUCUCACACCAUGUCGGUAUCUACCUGUUGAUACUUUCAUAGUUUAUUUAUCGUCAUGAGAUUCCCGACCCUGAAAAGCUGAAGUGAAAUAAUGAAAGCAACAUUGGGAUUUUCUUUACUUGUUAAAGCAGUUAUGAAAUUAAUUGGUAAAACAUUGAAAGUAUAUGUAAUCGUUUUUUCUAUAAUGACGAACUUAAUAUUUCUUGCAAGUAUGUCUAAACCUCCAUGGCAUGACUAAUGACGUCAAUACGGUACUUGUAUCUGUCUAGGAUUUAUCUUUCUUAAGAAGUGCUACCUCUUUACUUUGCCUUAACAUGAGCCUCUUUCCAUGUUUGCCUUCUUAAGAACCUUAACCUCUUUCAUAGCUUCACCCCUUUACUGGUGCAUUACCAUGGGAGAAGAAGAAAUCAAGCCAAAAUAAUAAGACGAGAUAAAUGUCGUGAAAUUUACUAAGAUUAUAUUUUCUUCAUGGACAUCCUCAUCAAUAAUAUACCCUACCUACCAUGCAAAGCAAUAAGCGCAGAUUUUGACCUCAGUUCUAUUUUCUAUUUGAAUAAAGAAAAGGGUGCGUUAUAUCGUUUAUGCGACUUUGUACACCUUUAGUUAACAUUAAACCUUUGAUUACUCAUGCCUAUCCUGUUUCCAUGGUUAUUCUGGAUUCCUUCUUCAUUUCGACAAGCCUUUCUUUUGUUCAUUUCAGCAUACAUCUCUUCAAUCAUAGGUUUCCACAGCCGCACACGAGCAUUUAUAAACCAGUUGGAUACCUGAGCUUGAAGACACAACCAAGCAAGUAUGUCAGAUUGUUCACCUUUAAACAAAGUAACAAACAAGCAAGAGUAGUAGAUAAUACCUGACUUCUUGUCAACCCACUUUUUACUGCAAGUAAAUGCUUCUCUGCAUCUUUGGGAUACCUGAAAUCCAUCAAUUACUAAAUAAAUACUUUCUUUAGAUAUAUUCUUUAAAUUCAAUUCAUGGAUAAAAUUCUGAUGAUUGAAGUAUAAAUCCAUUCCAAGAGACAGGUAUAUUGCAUAUUUGAAACUCACGGGUGUAAGAAAUUCUGAAACAUCCAUGCCCGAAGAACCGAGACAGAUCUUUCUGGCAAGCCUCUCUGGGGCCUCCACAGCUGAUCUUUUCUUUUCAACUGCUGGAGAGCCCAUUGCUUUUGAAGGAAUGAAGUUU